GAAAGGAACGUCACCGAUCCUAAUGUUCUCUUUCCUACCUUUGGCUUCACCCACCCUAAAAUCAAUAGCUUCGAUAUUCUUGUCCUCGGACUGAUCAAGUAAAACUUGAAUGUCCUCAUUAUUAGAGGAACCCAUGGUCUCAGCAAAUAAAAAGAAAAACAAGCACAGAAAAUAUAAAACUUACUUGAGCAAGGAAGACUAGAGAGAGAAAGUGCUUAGUGAGAGAUGCUUUGAUAUUCAAAAAUAUAGGGAUGAAGCAAAUGGAAGGCAACCGCUCGAUAUAUAGAAGAGCGAGAUUCUGAAGAGUCAUCCUCAUUUAAUGAGGUGACUCUUUUAAGUACUCCUCGGCAAACGAAUCAGCGCCUCAUUUCCUUCAAAAGGAGUUGUUUCUUGGUGACAUUAAGCAAAUAAAAGACAUCCUAUUGAAAAGACGCAAUAAAAAUAAUAAUAAUAAAAUAAAGUAAUUAAUAAUAAAUAAUAAAAACACUUAAUCACACUUUUGGACAUAAAUGACCAAAAACCAAGGGGUAUUACUGGUAGUACACAAUAAUAAGAUAUAUAAGAUAAUUUAUUAAUAAAUUAUACAAGAUAUUAAACUUCUAAACAAACUCUAAGUAGCAAGUCAUGUAAGAUUUCUACAAUCUUUAUCCUAAUAUAAUUAUCUUUUCUCCAAUAUAAAUAUCGCAAAUUUACUUCAAACGGGAGGCUAAUUCUGAAUUCUCCAAACCCUCAAUUUUUUAGAGUGUAAAAGAAAGUUUAAUAGUAAGUUUAAUUAAUUGGAUUAGACAUAUCUAAAAUAGAAGAAGGAAAAGAAAGUUUUCACAAUAAUGGAUGAAUUUAGAGUUUUUUUUUUUUAAGACAGCUCUGAAAAUUUAAUUUUCUUACUAAUAACAUACUAAUUUGAUUAUAAUAAUUAAUUUAGCUUAAAUUAAAUUUUUUUAUCUUUUUAUUAAAGUAAUUAUUUGAACGACUAACGAGAUAUAGGGCAUCUAAAAAAAAAUUGUCUAUUUCAUUUUAUUUUCAUAUUGUAUAAAAUUCGUUAUUAACUAGCACUUUUGUUUUUUGAAAACAUUAUUAACUGGCACUUUGGUAGACAUUAUAUCAUUUUGAGGGUCCAAAUUUUAGUUUUUAUAACCUAUUAUUAUACAUUUACCUAUUUAAUUCUAGAUAUAAUUAAGGCCUAAAACCUUUACCUUGAUCCCUAUUAAUUCAAGAUUAAAAUAAUAAAACUAUAUUAAAGGACAUUAACAACAAAUAUUGCUUGAUUUGAUGUAUGGAAUUUUAUAAUUGAAAACUGUUAAUAGUACUAUUACAACCACUGUAAAACUAUUAAGCUAGCUAAUAUAAUUGCUAACUAUUAUUUAAUUCCAACAUCAAAUAUCUAAUAAUAUUAUUAAAUCUAAUUAUGUAACAAAUGAAAGUACUUGAGUUCGAAUUUUCUAAACUGUAAAAAUUUUCAAAAAAUUGAUAAGUUAGCGGAAGGACUACCUCCAGUUAUGUAACCUAUAAUGUUAUUCUAACUUAUUAGGUUUCUCAUUGAAAAUAAAAUAAUAUGUUUUUUACCUCUCAUUGGGAAUAAAUAAAUUUCACAAAAUUUUACAAAACUCAUUUAUAAAUCUACAUGUUUGUGUUUGAUAUAAAAAAAAUAAAAAUUCAAUUUUACAAAUUUAAUCAUAUAGAUUUGAAUAUAAUUAAACCAACUUUUAUUAAAAAAUAUGAAAUUGACAAAUGAAUUCCAUAAACUUAAACGAUACAAAAUUUUAUUAUAAAACUUUUCGUGUUUCUGUCUUCUAAAAUUUAGCUAGGUCAAACACAUAAUUGAUAUCAUUAAAAUAAUAUAAUAAAAAGUAAAAAAAUAAAAAUAAAAAUAAAAAAGGAAUCAUGCAUACCAUCUUUCCCCAAUCGUCGCCUACUUCCCUCUUCAAUACUUCCAAUAAUGUGAAGAAACAUAGGAGCAGCUUGGAUGAGGGGUGACCAAAACAACGUGUUCGUGUUCUUUCUCCUUUUGCUUUUACAUAUUUUUAGCAACUUUUCUAUCAUUAUUUUAUUUUUACACUAUUCUCUACGGAUCAUAUAAACCCCAAAAAAUGCAAUUAGUGUUCAUAGCUCAUCAACCAGAUCUAUUUCACAUGAAAGGGAGAAAUUCCAAUUGCUAAUUAUAAUAUCAAUAAAGAGUUGCAUUAGUUGUUUACUUGUAAUUUUUAAAUUAAGAGUUUAAAACUUUGAAUCGAUUACUCUCAUCAGUGUAAGCGUGUAGAAAUACAACAUUAUGUAAAUAAAAAAAUAUAUAUUUAUAUCUCUUGUUAUAAUGCUUUUCUUCUUUUCUGAUUAUUCAUUGGAGUCAAAUGAAUCAAAAUAUUAUUUUGAUUUUUCAGUUAUAUAAUUGAGAGUAGAUUUUCAUUUUAAUAAUUUUUACUGUAAUACACCAUAGUACUGCUGCUUUCUGUUCUCUAUUUUUAAUUUUAAUGUUGUUGCAACUCUAUGGGUUUUUUGUUCCCAAAUGAGGCUUUGGGUGUUUUUGGAUGAGUCUAUUCGGCUCAGGUACAGUUAUCUUGGGCUCAAGUUGUUUUCCUCUUCACCAAGUUCUUGGCUUAUCAAAAAAAAUUUUUUUUGCUGAAAUAGCUCAAGUACUAAAGUCCGCUCUGAUAGUCCUUAUAAGGUUAUUAAUUCGAUUUAUAAAAAAACAGCUACAGAGAAAUGCAGUUACGAACUCUGAAAAGAAAUAUUCUCGUACUUGUAGAGUAUAAAAUACUUUGGUAAUAAAAAAAAAGGAAUUAGUGAAAACUCUUCUCUUAAUGAAAAUUGAACUUAAAAGAGUACGAGACUAUACCAUAAGUGAAGUCUGUCUGGACUGUUAUUCUAAUUUUUGAUCUUAACCAAAUGCUGAACUCACAGCCCAUUUAAUGUGAUAAAAAAGAAAUAUUAAAAUGAAAUUGUUUCGUUAACCAAUAUUUUAAUGGGCAAUUUCUAUAUUCCCUGAAAAAAAAAAAGGCAUUUUGUACAUCAGUGGCACUGGUGAGAUAUAGAGUUGACCACUAAGGAAGAGGACAGGGAGGGCAAGUCAACUGUCUCCAUUGAAGUUUUCCUCAAUUCGUCAGAUAACUCUCACCAUUGAAGUUUUUCUAGUUUUAUUUGGUUUUCAUGAAACCUGAAAAAAGGCUCAAAUGUUGGAAAAGAGCUGCAAACCAAUAAAAUCGAAUCAAUUCGAUUUGAUUCCAAUUUUAUACGCUAAUUGAUUUCAUUCAAUUUUUAUUUCAAAAAAUUUCGGUUUGGUUAUGACAAAUGCUCAUCCUUAUAUAUAAAGUGAGAAUAAUUAUAUUAUUAAUAUCUAAAUGUUACCAAUUUUCUAUUUUAGUGCCUAAGAUUUAUUUUUUAGUAAUUAACACUAUGUUUGGAAAAGAAAGAAAAAAAAAAUAAUGAAGGGAGAAAGUAUUAAGGGAAAUAAUAAAGUAUUUAUUGACACGACCAAAAAACUAUGCCCACGUAAGAGGCCCGAAAUGGCAUAAUGAAUAAAACUUAUCAUGAUCAAGAAUGUGCCAAGAGAGCUACUUGGACCCAAAACCCACUUGUAAAUAUUAUGCAAAUCUGAGGUAUUGUAGGUUUUUAUAUAAUCUAACAUAAUAUUUUAAAUAUCUUAGAACACUUUUUACUUUUCAUGGAGUCGCAUCGUUAGAAUUCCUACAAAUAAGAGGUGAUAUUCUUGUAAUAUUUUUUUUUUUUCCAAACCUAUGAAUUUCUUUAAUUUCUCUUUCGUUCUGCUUGUCUAGUUUUUUUUUUUUUCAUCCUAAAUUAUUCUUAUUCUUCUCUCCUUCAUUUUCGAACUAAUGCGAUCCAUUAGUCCAUCCUAUCCCAAGGUACUCCUAUGAUCCAUCCUAUCCCAAGGUACUCCUAUUAGACGUAGGACUGAUGAAUCCUCUUCGCUUUUAGAUUAUCCCCAGGCACUCCUAGUAGACGUAGAAUUGACGAACCCAUUACACUUUUAGAUCGAACGAACCCAUUUCACUUUUAGAUCGAAUAACUUUUCUAGCACGCUCAUUAUUAAGAUGUCAUGAUUCUGAUGAAAUCGAUUGACAAUGUAGUAUAUAUAAGUUCAAAUAGUUUUAUACGUCCGAUCAAAGGCCUAUAAUUCGGCCUUACGGGUGAUUCAUACUAGAUAUUUGAGAAUGUCUUUAGGUCGGAAAUCGAAGAAACACGGGUGGUCCGAGUGGACAUACAAACUGCCAUUAUGAUUUGCAUAAUAGCAUCGGCCAUUUAGGGACUGUCGUGGCAGAAUGGACAGGCGACCAUGACUUGGUCAAAAUUCACUUACAAAUAACUGGCCCAAUUUGUCCAACGGGCGAUCGAUCCAACUACUUUUGGGGAGAAUGUCUUAUCUCAGGAUCAAAAAGACGAAUGCCCGAGUUAAACCAAGUAGCGAGUACAUGGUAGAACAACGAUCGGAACCUCAAACUCACGAAGGGACCUAGAAAAACACCAUUACUCUUAAAUAUUCGACUUUGUUAACUCUCACUUAACAAAUGAUAAAUAUCCUUAUAAACCGACCAAGACUAAAAUAGACAUACGUGAAUUAUUGAGACAAUAUCUUUCUGAAUCCUACAAUCUGGCCUAAUGAAAAUCUUAAAAGUUCACUUAGAAAUUGACUUUGUUAUUUCCUUAAAUGAAAACAGUCGAGAGCGCCAAGUAUUAACAAAAAUAAUUUGGUAUGAUCAACGAUUAAUCCCAAUUCACAUUUAGGCGCAAUAUCAUGGAAGAGAUCCGGAUUAAAAUAUCUCAAUCUUGGUCGAUUCACGCAAAAAGGAAAAAACUUCUAAUCAACCAAAAAUUGCAGCGACCGACUCAAACAAUGAUAAACCGAAAGGAAUUCGGUUUUGAUGAUUACAAGUAAAUUACUUAUGCAAUAUUAUUUCAAAAGAGGCAAGGAAUAUUCUACGAAAUAAUAUUGUUCAUUAAAGCAUAAUUACAAAAGAAGAGAAGCCCAACGUACAACUAAGAAAUACUGGAAGAAAGUAAAUUCUGCAAAGUUAUAUUGGCUCGUUUCUGUUUGGCCAACUCCUUGUCCUUGGUUGUCUCCGUACAUAGUCAACCUAGGUUUUCUUCGCCUUAUUUGCAAUGCUCCCUUAAGCGGCUAUCUUACCCUCGAUGCCAUAUGUUUGUGUUUGCAAGGCUAAAAGUUCAGCCUCAAAGUUAGAGAUCCUUGCUCGGAGGGCUUUGCAUUCGAUUACUUUAACCACUCCUUGAGAGGACCAUUGUUAAAGGGAAGCUCGCAGGCUGGCAACCUCCCCGUCAUUUACCAAUCUGGAGAGUUAAACCGAUGGCCUCUUGUAAAUCAGCCCUCAGAUUGGUAAUUUGAGAGGCCGGAGUCUGUAGCUUCUAAAGGUGCUCCUCCUAUAACUGGCCAAGAAUGCGAACUAUGAAAAAUUUCAAGUUCAUAUCAAACUUUAUACAAAGGACGGUAUCUAGUAUUGCCUCAUCUCGCAAUUGAGAGUACUUUUGCACUCGAGAAAGGGUUUGUUAGAGGUCAAAAGCAUAGAUUAUUUUCCCACAAAAAAGAUGCCUGUUAACAGGAAGAAGCCAAAGAGUGGAGGAACUCUCCGGGAAGUAAAAAGAGAAUCAGGUGAGAGGUUUGGCCACAUUCCUCAUGAGAAUCGGACCAAGAAUUUGAGAACAGGUCUCGAAAUUGAUAUGAAGAAGCUCUUCGAACUGCCACAAGGAAUAGUCAUCUAUUAGAUUAAUCAAGAAAUUUCAACUAGCCAAAUAUUCAAACUCAGAUCCAGAAGAACAGAUAGCCAUUACGUCAAGAUCGGUUAACAAGUAGAUAGGACCAAGGAUAAUUAGAAAGAUUAGUAGUGAUCGACUUUGGAGGACAAAGGCAAAAGAAAGGAGUAAGAAAUAUAGGUGAAUUUAGCCGUCAUUGUGACGGUGUCCUAAAAGGCGAAGACUUUCAAGAGAAGCGUGAUUCUUCAAGUGAUCGACUAUAUCACUUAACAGUUUGAGGUUGGCUCAUAAUGCACAUAGGACUUCGAGCCACAAAGUUCAUGUGCAGAAGCAUUGUUGACACUAAUCCAAAAAUUAAACCUAGAUCAGAGGCUUGAAAGGGCAUAAUGAAUCUAAAAUUUAUCAUGAUCAGGAAUGUGCCAAGAGAGCUAGUUGAGCUUAAAACCUACUUGUAAAUAUUGUGCAUAUCUUAGGUAUUAUAGGCUUUUGUAUAAUUUGACAUACAUAGUAAAUAUCUGAGAAUGACUUUUACUUUUCUUGGAAGGCACUCUUAGUAUUUCUAUAAUAGGAGGUGACACUCUUGUAAAUGACACGAGAAUCGAUAUAAACAAGUGAAUUGUUUUACGCAUUCAAGUCAUCUUUAACCCAUUUUCUUUUCCCAACCUAUGAAUUUCUUUAAUUUCUCUUAUGUUUCUCUCACCUAGUUCUUUUUCUCCUCCUAAACUCUUCUUAGUCUUAUCAUUUUCGAACUAACAGAACAGUGUUCUACUAUUUUUCUUUUUGUUUUUUUUUUUUUUAAAAGACUAUUCUACUAGUUUUCUUCCUUGGUUAUUUUUCAUUUUUGUGUUUGGAUGAAAGGAGUAUAAAAGCAAAAUGAUUUAGAUGAUACAAACCCAACUAUACAGGGAUUUCAAAUCAAAAUGGACUGGCAUGUUUCGUUCAUCACGAAUUCACCUAAAUUUGAUACAAAUAUGAAUAAAGUCUCUUCAAGCUAAUAUUGCUUCUUCAAGCUAUGGUCGUCACCAAAAUCCCCUGUUGCUAAAAUCCUACCAAAAUUCUUGUUUUAUGGUUUCCUAAUGCGAUUUAUGUUUCUUCUGAUAUACAAUAAGGAUGUGAAUGCAAAUGGGUUGUGAUUUGGAAGAGAGAGGCUUGAGUGUGGAAAUGAAAUGAAAGGUUAAAAACUGACAGGAAAAGAAAUGGAAGGAGAUUGCCGCCACUCUUCUUGCUUUGAGUUUCUCCAAUUUAUUCCUUUUCUUUUUCUAGAUUUUAAGGUUUUAUUUUUGAUUUAGGUUUUACCAUAGUGAUGAAUCUUUCAAGCUUAUACACUUGGUAUGAACCCAUGUGCAACAUUUCUUUUAUAAUCUUACUUAUUGAAGUAUUGAUUCGCAUUUCGAGCAAAGACCUCGAAAAUCUCAAAAAUAACUUGAUCACCCCUCAGUAUUCUCAAGAUUGAAUCUUCUCGCAAGCUUAACCUGGCAGUAAGUGCAUAAACUUAAGCAAAAGACAUUUUAUUCCUCAAAGAUUAACCUUUCAAGAAGAUUGCCACAUUAUUAGCAAAUCUCUGUGGACUGAGUUACUAAUUUUGAAGUAUAGUGACCACAGCAAAUAGUGGACAAAGACCUCAUUAGGCUAUGUUUACUAAGCUGUGGUGAAAUAUACUAUAAUAUAAGCAACUGCAUUUCUAGUAUAAUUUAGCCUAGCAAAAAUUUAUCAUCAUCAACGCACUGAACUUGCUGCUAGAAUGCAAAAAUAAGUUAAAAUCCACUAAUAUGCAAAACCAAACAAAGAUUGUCGUAAACUACACGCUAUAGAAAUAAUCAGUAACUAUAUGUUUGCCAAGGAUCAAUUAUAAAAGAAUGUAACUGAUAUAGACAUCUUCAUAAAUCUUUUUGAAUUUAAGUUUACAACCCAUUUUAAGAUUGUCAUUGUCGUUUAAGAAAGUAUGACUAACAAAAUUAUAAAAAGAUCUACAAAGGAAGAAGCAACCAAUUCUGAACGAGAAGUCAUGAGUACCUGAUCCAUCACUUUCGUGGGAACAAACCAAACAUGUCGAUUAUCACCAUCAUCAACAACCAGAUGACAAACUGACUUUAUAUCAAUCAAACGCAUUUCUGAACUUGUACACCGGUGCAAGUAAUCACAACAUAUCUUUAAUGAAGUCAAGGUUCAAAGUGUCACGAACAAUAAGGAACAAGCCAAGUAGUAAAACAAGCAUGAUCCCUGAAGACAUAAUCCGCUGCUCAAUUUCUAAAGGAAGCUUUCUUCCACCCCUAGCUGCCUCAAUAAGAAUCAAGGCUAAGGAACCUCCAUCUAAUGCAGGCAAAGGCAAAAGGUUUAUCACAGCAAGGUUAAUAUUAAGAACAGCUGCAAACUGGAAAAGUCCAUCAAUAUUUGACCUUGCAACUUCUGCUCCAACAGCAAUAAUAGCAACUGGACCUGAAACCUUACUAGCUGAUUCUGAAAAGUUAAGAAAAGUUUGUUUCAAGCUAUCCAAAACAUUUGAUGACAAACCUAGAAAUUCUUUUCCAGUAAAAUUAAUUGCUUCGAUUACAUUUUUCGCCAUAAUCUUAGUAACCUUCAUAUUUGGUGAUAAUUGAACUCCAAUUUUACCAGUUCCAUCAAAAUUCUCAUCAGGGGUUACACCAAUGUCAAAAUCCUGCUGUCCUCUCCCUACCUUAAGCAACACAUUUCUUUUUGGAUUUCUCUUAAUAACAUCAACAACCUCAGUUACAGCAUUUGGGCCAGUUUUCGGCAAUUCAAUACCAUUGAUAGCAAGAAUUACAUCACCAGGAAGCAACCCAUCUCUAGAAGCAGCAGAAAAGGCUCUAACUUCAGGCACAAGAACCCCAGGAAAGGCUUCUUGAACAGGCAAACCAACUGAUAAUACUUGAACAAAGAUUAUAACGUAUGCAAAUAUAAUGUUGGCAAUAACACCAGCUGAUAUUACUAAAAACCUAUCAAAUAUUGGCCUAUUCUUUAACAAAUUCGCAUCAUCUGCUGGAAUAUCACUCUCUGGAUCAUUAUCAGGAAAGCCCACAAAUCCACCUAAAGGAAAAGCUCUAACAGAGUAUUCUACAUUAUUGGCAUUAAAUUUAGCUAAAAUUGGACCAAACCCAAUAGCAAAUUUACUUACAUGAAUACCUUGAAGAUAAGCAGCAAGAAAGUGACCGCUUUCAUGAACAAUAAUUAUAGCUGUUAAAACACCAGCUGCUUCUAGGACAGAUUCAAAACUGCCCACAUCAAAUCCAGAGACAGCCGAAGCCCUGAAAUCAAGCUUUUUACCAAGUGAAUGUCUAUUGAAAAAUCGGUUUUUGAAGUUAAGACUGAAUUGUGAACAGGAGACAGAGGCGGAGAAAUGGAUUUUGGGUUUCAAAGAAGAAGUUGUGCAAGGUUCAAGAAUGGGUGAUUUAGAGUUGGUGAAUCUAAGAAAAGAAGAAGAAGAAGAAGAAGAGAAGUUUAAUAGCAUGGUUUCGCGGUGUAUAAAGAAGGGAGUAAUUGGCGUAAGGAAAGGAGUUGCGAUACGGAAAUGGGGUUAAUGGUUUUGUUGCUUUUGGAUAAUUUUUCAUCACUUGGAGCUGUGUGUGGAGCGGAAGUGAGCGAAAUGUCCCCUUCUUUGUCUUCCACACAACAUGUAAGUUUCAGCUUCUUUAAUCCUUGAAACUCAUAAAUUUGAAGUCCAAACUCUUGAUGGGUUAUUUUACCAUUUAAAGCCUAUAUGGAAACUGGGCUUAGACUAUUGGAUAGAUUGUUUAUAAGGUCUGGUCUGCACAACAAAUACUUCUGUAUAAGCUGACAGAAGAGGACAAUCAUGAGACCACAGCUCUAAUGAAUCAAAAUACCUCAAAUUUUAUAAAGUUUUGCAAUUUCAUUUUAUUUUAAUUUCGACUUUUUUAUCAAUAGCACCCUUAAAUGCAAUUAAGAAUGAAAUUAAAUAAAAAAUAUUACAUAAUUUUUUAAACCAUUAUGUGACUCUAUAGAAAUUUGAAAAAUGAAAAUUUUAAAAAUUUUAUUAGUCUUAACAUAUAAUUUCUCACAUAUUAAAUUUUAUUUUUUUAAAAUAAAUGUGCUAUUUAAUAAUUUAAUAACAUAAUUUCAAAAAAAUAAUUUAAUAACAAAUUUUUGUUAAUUAUCAAAAAAAUAUCAAGCAUGUGAAUUAAUAAAAUAUAAUUUUUAAUUAGUUAUUUUAUUUUAUAUCAUCUAUAUUUUAAGAAUGAAAAAAUCCUAAUUGCAAUAAUUCUUUGAAUUGGUAACAUAGAAUAAAAAAUAAAUAAAUAACUUUUCCAAGUAUUUUUAUUGCAUAAAGUUUCAAAUAUCAUAUUUCUAAAUUUAUAAAUGUAUCACCCAUUAUAUAUGAAUAUAAUUUGAUAUUGAAAGGAUAUUUAAAAUUAUAUUAUUUAUUAUUAUUAUUGAAAAAAAUAAAAAUAUUUUUUAUUUAUAUUUAUAUUUAUAUUUAUAUUCUUAAUUGCAAUUGAGGGUGCUAUUGCUACAAAAGUUUAAAAUUAUGGUAAAAUUACAAAAAAAAUUAAAAUAAAAUGAAAUUGUAGAGAUCUAUAAAGUUUAGAGAUAUAUAAUACUAAUAUAAUGUGAAAUUAAUAAUUUUUGGAUUUAUCAUUUUUGUAUCUAUCAGAUAAUAAUUCGAAAAUAAGGAUAUUGCAGCGAGGGUUGAUUAUAUGCACGAUACUACCCUCAGUGAGAUCUCAAUUGCUUAAAAGCAAAAAGGAGUAUUAUUUCCCUUUAUUUAACAGAAAAAAAAAAUAUUUCCCUAAAUUAUAGUGAAAUUACCAUACGCCUCCUUUAUGUUUCAAAAGUAAUAUGUCUUCCUAAAUAUACAUUCUGUGAGGUGCCUAUCUCAUUCCGUUCAAAAACUCUCUAAUUUUCUGUUAGUCUAUCUAAUAAAUUAAGGUCAAAAACAAAGAAGAUGAGGGACAAGAGAGCUGGCUGUCCACCUGGACCCUUUCGAUUGGCUGAUGCAAAUGUUUUAGUGGUUGUCCCAUGCCAUCCGAAAUCUGUGAAGUCGAUGACCAUCCAUGACUUCGAUUUGCAUGUGUCUCGUUCAAGUUGUCAAUACGUAUGAGAGAUUUGAUCCUUUCGGCUCUAGUUCUUUCUGAAAUCAAGCAAACUUUGUCGAAAGAAGAGACUUAAGCAAGGAAAGAAAUCAUAAUUGUGAAAGAAAAAUUUUGUCAAUUAUCAAGAUGUUCAUUUCAUUUACCAUUUGGCAAAAGCAAGUCGAAACGAGAUGAUUGUAUGACGAAAUAAAAAUUUAGAGAGGUAUGUAUUAAUUUUAAAAUAUAAAGAAGGUAUAAAUAAAUGUAAUUUGAACGAACGGAGAUGAUUGUAUUCGUUGAUUUUUACACUUUAUAAAUAAAUGUAAUUUAAUUUAUAUACAUAAUUUUUUAUUAUAUGAAAUAAUUAAUUUUUUUUUGGUUUAAAUCAAGAGUAUAUGAAUUUUCUUAUCAGGGACCAUUUAAUCCGGCUCAAAGUUUAGUCACAAUUAAGACUCAUUUGCCCCUCCUUGCAAGUGCGUUUAAUGGCGAUCAAAUUCAAUAACUCUUCCUACAUGUUCGGUUUGCAUUGUCAAUUGAGUCACAAUCCAUAAGUAAUAAAAUAAAUAAUUAAAUAACUUGUUAAGAAAAUAAUAUAUUUAUAAUGAUAAGACACUGUUAUAAUUUGACAAUCAAAUUUUCAUAAAAAUAAAAUUAAUUAUCAACCAAUUUAAAUUUUUUUUACAACAAUUUAAAUUUAAUUAACUUAAUUUUUCAUAUAUAAUAUAAUAUUAUAAACGAUCUAUAUUAUUAAAAUAUGAGUUACCGGUAUUAGGUCUUAUAAUAAGAAAAAAUAACCGAUAUAACUAACUCGUCCUCGUAUUUUAGUAAUAUUAAUUAAUAGUUCUCAAAGUUUACUUCCGUUAAACAUUUCAUUCCUUUCAUCAAUUUUUUUUAAAUGUGUGAAAAGUCAAAAAUAACCCCACAAUUAAACAAGAAAAGACAAGAAUAGCCUCUAAAAUGCUUAUUUUUGUUACGAAUAAAAUGAUGAAUUAAACAAGAAAAGACAACAACAGAAACUUUUAACAGCAGCUUUUAUAGUCAAUCAACUCAUAUAUAUUGGCUACUCUAAUUUAUGUUUCUGAAUUAUUGCCUAGUUCCUACGCUGGUAAGUGAAACAAAAGCUAAAUCCAUAACACAGAACAAACGCAAGAAUAAAUUUAAAUGUAACAAAUCAUUAAAUGCAUAUAAACGAAAAAAAAAAAAAAAAGAAUUCUGAACAAAGAACAAAGGGACUCCUGAAAUCGGUAUCGGGCACAAAAAAUUUUCCAUGAUUCCAGAAUCUGUUUACGUGUAUGUUAGCACAGUCUGUGUCAUGAUGACAAAUGGGUUGACUCUUCUCUUGUUAUAAGCCGUAUGGAAAACUAUACUAGAAAGAAGUCCAAGACCAAGAGAAAAAGAUGGACAAAAUGUCAAUCAACAAAAUACCUCUUUACAGAAGAUCACAAGGCCCCGAAUGAGAGGAACCAACUCUCCACCUGCUAUCCAUCAAUCUUCCAAUUGUGUUCAUAAACCAAUCCUCCCACAAGCCACCAAAGAAUUUGAACAAAAAACUUAUUUCAAACCAAGAAUCCUCCAAAGCUGCCUUCUUUUGAAAACCAAGAAUCCAACAACUCCAAUCUGCAAAAUUGCAGCAAUACCCACAAACAACAAUACUAUCUUCUUCCCUGUGUUCAUUUUGAUCUUUUUGCGUUGGAGAUGGCGGUGCUUGAUCCCUCUUUGAGGCGCUGGUACGCAAGGCAUGCCUUGGUGCGGCGGAGGACUGCUUAUUGGAGGUGAUGAUGGAGGUGGAGGUGAAGGUAGAGACCGAGACCAAGACUGAGACUGAGACCUAGGUGUUGGUGGAGGUGGAGAGUGUCCGUUGCUAGCUUGCGUGGAGGCAGGAUGAUCGGACCAGAUCUAGCAUGCAUUGUGGUGGUUUGCCGCUGUUCGCAGAGGCAGAGUAGGGAGUUAAGGAGAUGAUAGUAGUCUAGGUUAGUUACGUCUUUUCCUGUUUAAGUGUGGGACUAUUUUUAACUUUUGACAAAAUCAGAACAAAAUGGACGGAAGAAAUGAAAGGUCUAACUCCAGCUAAAUCUCAGUAAUUAUUAAUUAAUAUUAACAAAAUAGGAUGGUAAAUUAGUUAGUUUAGUUAAAUUUUAAGGAUGAAUUAAUUAUUUUUCUUAUAAUAAUUAAAUGUAUUAAUCAUUAUUUUAGAGCAUCAUUUAUAAUUUUAGUAUUUUUUUUUUACUUUUUCCUAAAAUCUGUGACUAUCUAAUUAAAUUUUUACAUUUAUUUUUUUAACAAGAAAAUUCUUUCAAACGUAUGAUAUGAUUUUCUACAGUUACUUUUUUAAAAAGAAAAUUCUUUCAAACGUAUGAUAUGAUUUUCUAAUAUACGUGCUAUAUCAUAAUUUUAUAUUUUAUAUAUUUUUAAUGAAUUUUAUUUUCUAUUUUAUAUCAAAUAAUAAAAAUUACAAUAUAUGCCCUAAUAAAAAUAUUAAUUAAUUUUAUUUUUUAAAAUAAGUUAGUCAUAAGAAAUAAUUAUAAAUAAUCAAAUUAAAGAUUUAUUAAAAACAAUAAUUAAACAUAUAUUAUAUUUUUAUAAUAUACCAAUUAAAAUUAAAUUACCUUUAUAAUUUAUUUUUUCAACCAAUAAAAUUAAAAUCUUUAAAAAUAUUACAUUCUUACCUCACACACACACAUAUAUGUAUAUUAUUUAGUACAUAAUAUAAUUUCUUAGUUUAAUCAAUAGAAUUUAUACUUAAAUAGAAAAUUAAUAUGACCAAUUAAAAUUAGAUUACCUUUAUUUUUUCAAUCAAUAAAAUUAAAAUUAUUAAAAAUAUUAUAUUCUUACCAUAUUUAAUAUAUACCUUAUAUAAUAUAUCAUAUAAUUUUUUAUUAUAUCUAAUAAAAUUUAAAUUUAAAUAAAAAAUUAAUAUGAUCAAUCAAAAUUAAAUUACCUUUAUUUUUUCAAUCUAUCAAAUUUAAAAUCGUUAAUGGUAUUUUUGCCGAUCUAUAAACUUAGUAGGGUGCAUUUUUGGCGGUCUCAAUAUUAUAUAUAUAAAAUAAUACUAUAAAUUAUCUAUAUUACUAAAAUAUAAAAAAUCAAUAUUGGUUUCCAUAUUUUGUCAAUUGAAAUAAAAAAAAUUUAUUAUUGCAUUAGUUUAAAAAAAACUAAAAAAAUAAGCAAUUAUAUAUCAAUUGAAAUUUCCAUUUAUAAAAGCAUGAAAAAUAGGCUUGUUACAAUGUACAACAUUUAUAUUAAUAAAUUUAUAUUCUUAUCAUUGUUCCACUAAGUUUCAGACAAAUUAAGAAAGUAACAGCACAAAUCAACCACAAGAGAAUUAAUUUCUAAAAUAAUAUUAGUUAAAAAUCUAAUUCAAUAAAGUAAUUAAUUUAUUUAUUUAUAUUAAAUAUAUUAUAUAUUAUAGAUAAUAGACAUUAUAAUGAUUAAUAUAUUAAUUAUUGUUUUAAAGCAUUGUUUAUAAUUUUAAUAUAUUCUUGCAAUAUUUAACAUACACAUUAUGUAGUAUAUAUUACAAAUUUUUAAUUUAUCCAAUUCAAUUUAAAUAAAAAAUUAACAACUAAAAAAUUUUUAAUGUAUAUUUAACAUAUACAUUUUGUAGUGUAUAUUUAACAAAUAUAUACCUCAGUUAUAUCCACAUUCUCUUGCCUUGACACCAUUAUUAGUAACUUAUCAAAAUAAAAUUUUUGCAAACUUUUGAACAUACUAUGAAAAAAAAAAAAAAAGAAAAGAAAAGGGAGGAGAUUAACAAACCUCCAUUUUAAUUGUAUAGCAUAGAGCAAAAUUUCAUUGCAAAUCCGAACCCUGCAUAACGAAACAAAAAUAAUAAUAAAUACAAAUAACUUUAACUAAAAUAAUAAUAGAAUCGAAGAAGAAGCACUUGUGAAUCCCACUUCAAAAUAAUGGUUAAAGAAAGAUAAAAAUGAAGAAUUUAAACGCUUUCGGAUAUAAAGAUAUAUAAAAAAAUAUUAUUAAAUUUGUUCAAUUCAAUUGUCAAAUAAAGUUACAUUAUCAAUGCAACUUUUUAAAUAUAAAUAUGAUUAAAUUAAAAAAUAUAUUUUAAUGGCCAAUUAAAUCAGAAAAACAAAAGAAAAAAUGAUAGUAAAAAAAAGAAAGAAAACAAAGCUCCAAAAUUUGUAAAAAAAGAAAAAUAUAAUAUUUAAGGAAUAUAUAUAUAUAUAUUUAUUUAUCUAUACUAUAUGUAAAAAUGAAAAUGAGAGAGAAUAAUAGGAUUACCUGUAAUAAUUUUAGUAAAAAUUUAAAAUUAGAUAAUUGAUUAAUAAUAGUUUGAAUUUAUUAAAUAACUUGAGUUUUCAAUAAUUGAUAAAUUAUAAUUUUUUUUAUUAUUUUUUAUUAAUUGAUUGAAAACGUAUAUUAUUAUAUUAUUUUAAUAUUAUUAUAUUUUUUGAAAGAUAAAUUUUUAUUUUAAUAUAUUAUUCUAAUUGAACUUUCUUUUUGAAUGUAUGGAUCAAUGAUUAUUUACAAUAUUAGUUGUUUCAAAAAACAGAUUAUUAUUUUAAUUUUAAAAUAAACUUCGAAAUGUAAAAAAAAAAAAAUCUAUAAAAAAUACUAUUGCACAUGUUUUAUAUAUAUAUCAUUUUUAAAAUUUUGAAUUUUUUUUAUUUAUAUCUAUUUAUGUAUAUUUAAGUUUUUCACGAACUCAAAUCACACUCAAUAAAAUUAUAUUAUUUAAUUUUUUUUAAAAAAAAUUGAUGCUAAUUAAAGUUUAACUUUAUUAUCUUCAAAAAAAAAAAAUUGAAAUCUAAUCUUAUAAUUAAUAAUAAUUUUUUCAUUUUGUCGUCUAUAAUUAUUUUAUUAAAUAUACUUGACUUUUAAUGUUGUCCUAUCAUAUUAAAAUUAGUUUAAAAAAAUAUUAUUGCUUAUAAUAUAAAUAUUAUUAAUCAUGUCUUAACAUUAUAUAAAUAUAUAGAAAAUAUAAAAGAAAAAUUAUAAUCAUACUUAAUAUUGUAUAAGAAUAAAUUAAUUGAUGUAAACAAUGAGUAAUAUCGAAUACUAACAACAUGCAACACACAUAAAAAAACACUAAUUACUUUAAAAAUAUAAAUUAUAAAUAUUAUAUAUAAAUAAUUAAAUUAAAUUUUAGUUUUGUAGCAAAACUUUAAUUAUCUUUUAAUAACUUUAAAAAUUUAAAUAAAACUUUCAUGCCCUUUCAAAAAAAAAAAAAAAAGAAAGGACUUUCAUGCCACAAUAACUUGCUGUUCGUUCUGCUGCUUGUUUUUAAUAUUAAAUGAUUUAACAUUACCACAACACGAAAUCAUCCGUUUCCAUUUCACACGUAAAUAGUUUCCACUCAACAAUAACAACUAAUCAAUUCCACUACCAACCAUAAACGCUCUUCCACCUGCUUAUCUGCCAACUCCCAUGAUUUUGUAUGUAGUAUAAAUGUUCGUCAAAAGUCCUCAAUAAGAAGAACAUUUCCAUAAGAACCUUUUUUAAUGAUUGGUGUUUUUCCACAGCCAUAGCACAGGAUUUUUAUGGCUUUGAAGUCUGUUUCUGUUUCCGGAUUUGAUGUUUCUCGGUUAAGCUGGAGAAGAGGCUGCUUAUCUAAACCGUCGAAUCGGCUCAGGUCUUUUAGCACAUCGCAGAGCUUUGUAUGGCUUGGCACGAUAAGGUCUGAAUUGGGCCAAAUUAUUGAUCAAACAGCGGCUAAUGUUUCGGGAAAUUUGCAGAAGGAUUUCAGUUCCUUUCCAAGUUAGUUUUCUAUAUUUGAAAUUUGCUUUAAUUCAUUGAAUCUUCUGUAAGUUAGUUUUUUUUUUCCCUUUGAAAAAUUCAUUGAAAUAAUUGAGUCUGAAUGAGGGAGAAUAUUAAAUUUGAAAGGGAAUUUAUUUGUAGUAAUCAGGUCAAAAACCUGAGGUAGGAUUAUUCUAGGUGGAAUUUGCUGAUUGCAAGACUUAGCCAGUUCUUCAAACUAAAGUCAGCAACUGUUGUACAGGGAAUAAAGUAGCAAAGUUUGUUUUUUAAAAAAAUAAUAAUAAUAAUUUAAUAUACAAAGCAGUUUUAGAAAUUUUGCUUGGAUAUUAACUAGAUGUGCUUGAAACUUACGAAGUUGAGCAAGCCUAUGAGAUGCUCAAAAAACCAUGUUCAGUAGAUUUUUUAUAAUCACUGAAUUCGAUUGUCUGAGGUUUCUGUUUGUGAGCGGCUAUAGAACCCAGCCAACUGUUGGAAGCUCAACUAACUUGAUCACUGUAAUUUUUUUAUGUAAACUGAUUACACUUGCUAAAUAUCUGCGGACUAUUAUUAUAGAAAAGAAAACUUGUCACCAUUGGCUUUUCCACAAACAGACGUGAGGCAACUGAAGUAUAAAACCAGGAAAAGUGGAGAUAUGCUUAUAGCUGAAAGAUAAUGGAUAAUAUCUAAGUAAUGUAUGAUUUAUGUUUAUCUUUCACUUAGGUAAGUCUUGGAUUCAGCUUUGUGCUGGUUAAUGCUUUGCAACUUCAUUUUCUUUAGGUUUCCAACAAUUGCAGGACCAUUAUCAGUAGCCGAUUUUUCUGCUAAUCCAGAUGAUCGUAUGAAGGUGCGGAUAUCAUUUAAGGUAUGAAUUUUAUCUAAGCAUUGCUAGCUUCUGUUAGCCAAGCAGAUAGAAAUCAAAUCAAGUUACUCAUAGCUAUCCCUUAUGUUUUUGGUUGGCUUAAUGCUUCAGGGGCUACCAGGUUCAUACAGUGAGGAUGCUGCACUUAAGGCCUACCCUAAAUGUGAAACUGUGCCCUGUGACGAAUUCGAGGACGCAUUUAAGGUUGACAUGAUAUUAUCUUCACAUUGAUAUUGUCUUUCUCACAAGGAAGUUUAUAAUAGCAAUUAUGUAACAAUCUGCAGGCAGAAGUUAAGACCCUGUACAGUAGUGCAGUCACGUUAAAUUGCUUCUGUUAACAAUUCCAUAUUCUUUAUAUUACUCAUGGUAAAUCAGAAUUAUUUUAGAUUCCAAUUUUCUGAAGACAACUAUAUGUUCAACCAGCAUAUAUACGGCAAAUAUUAGGAAAGCAGAAUGCUUUUGACCUCCUUUUCAUUCUUGUAGUGCUUUUUCACUACUUUUGGCAGGCUGUUGAAUUGUGGAUAGCAGAUAAAGCAGUUCUUCCAAUUGAAUGUUCUGCAGCUGGAAGCAUUCACCGGAACUAUGAUUUACUCCUUCGACAUAGGCUUCACAUUGUGGGUGAGGUAAAAUUGGCUGUUAACCUCUGUCUUUUGGCUAUACCAGGUGUCAGAACAGAGCAGUUGAGACGUGUUCUUAGCCAUCCACAGGUUAAGUUUCAAUUUCCAUGUUAUUUAUUUUUUUUAUAGUUUUAGCGUGUCUCUUGCCUCAAAAAGAAGGCAUGCAUAUGGAGUUUCACUAGCAUCCUCUAGACCUAUUCUACUAAGCAUUGACAUAAACAGUUUUUAGACUUGGGAAAUUAUACGAAAUUUCUUGCCACAUCUACUCUUAUUAAACAAGUAAAAGAUACCGGAACUAGAGUUGCUGUUAGUAGAUAAUAAGAUUAAUAACUAUGCAACAAUAACUUUGACCUAAUUUAAUUAGGAAUCAGGAUAUGUUGGAUGUAUUAUCAUAUUAGAGAACUAGCAGUUUGAGUUUGAAAUGGAAAUUUUUCUCAAUACACCGGAACUAAUUCAAGUUGAAGUUCUUAACAAUGUUUGGAGAUUGGAGAAAAAGAAGUAGAAUGAUUGUCUGUAUAAUCAUUUGGAUGAUGACUAUCUCGUUAGAGUUGUGACCCAUCCACUUGCUAGUUCAGAUUUCCUGACAAUGAUAGAGUAGCAUGUGUUAUUAACUUUUGGAAUCUAUUUUUUCAAUAUUAAAGUUUAAAGAAUUAAAUUUGCAGGUACUUGAUUUGAGUGACAAUUUCUUGAACAAGUUAAGUGUUGCGAGAGAAAAUGUUGAUGAUGCUGCUGGUGCUGCUCAGGUUAUCUAUCAAUAUUACAUUUAGGAUCUUAUUUUAGUUUCUACAUAUCAUGCCACCAAAUUUUAUCAUAAUUACUUAAUUUUGGUUUUAGUAUGUAGCCAUUAAUGAGCUGAGGGAUGCUGGUGCUGUAGCAAGUGCUCGAGCUUCAGAAAUAUAUGGGCUUAACAUACUAGCGGAAAAAAUCCAGGUUACAUUUUUAUGAUAUGUUUAAGUCUAUGUUUAGGUCUUGAUAUUUCGUGUCCUCAUUGCGAUUCCUUUUCCACUGACAAUUGAAUAAGCCGGAGUCAUCUUGUUCAAUCUACUUCCUUAACACGAGGAAGUAAAAUGAUGGUUGUGAUAAAAAUAACAAGAGAUAGUACAGUUUGUUCUUAAGAGAAAUCUGUAUGACUCUACUUCUGAUUACAUUUUGUUGAAAUGUAGUUGAGAUGUUCUCUACCAUGUACACAUACAACAUCUAAGCCUUAAUCCCAAAUUAGUUGGGGCCAGCUAUAUAAUUGUUUAUUUCCAUAUCCACUCUAUUCAAUUAAGCAAUUAAAGCAAAGUAUAAAAUUGGAAAACUUGAAAUACUUUUUGUGAAAAAAUUUUGGAAAAGAAAAUUUUCUAAAUUAUUUGCUAUUAGUAAAUUAAAUAAAGGGAAAAGUAUUAUAUAGCCCCUGAGGUUUGAACUAAUUUACUACCUCAUCUCUCUAUUUUGAUAAACCCUAUAAGUAGGCCUUGUGAUUUAGUUCUGUUGGACAAAUUGGUCCUUCCGUUAAAUAAAAGGGCUUUUCACUGUUAGUCAGAUCCAUAAAACAUAUUCAAAGAUGAGAGAAUAAAAUUGAAUUACAAAAAUACCCUUAAUGGCCACUGCCACUUUCAAUCCAUCCCUCUUACCACCACUCCAUCAUCUGCCGCCAACCACCACCAUGAAAUCAAAAACAACCACAAAUAAAAAGAAAAUUGAUUCUUCAAAUCAAAACCCAAAAACAAAAGUUAUUCAAUAUCUAAGAAUAAAACAGAGCUAAAGUUGAAUUGGAAAACCAAAUUUGCUAUGGCAGUAGCUUACAAGAGAAAAUUUUUAAAAAGAUUACCAUAGUACUGAGUUCAUUUUUUGUCAUCGUUGUUUUGCAAAAAGAUAAAUAAAUAAAUAAAAAUAAAAAACUAACUUAAAGAAAAAAUGAAAAACCCAAAUACCAUAAAAACUGGAGCUUUGUUAAUAUAUUACCUAGAGCCACACCUAAGAGCUAAAGAUACUAAAUAUAGAGUGCUAGAAACAUGAAUUCAAGGCACGGAUCAAACACCACAGUAUUUCAGUUGUUUCAAAAUAUAUAUAUAUAUAUAUAUAUAUAUAUAUAUAACCAAUUAAAAUUAAACUACCUUUAUUUUUCUUAAUAGAAUUUAGAUUUAUAUAGAAAAUUAACAUAACCAAUCAAAAUUGAACUUUUUUUAUUUUUCAACCAAUAAAAUUAAUACUUCAAUGAUAUUUUUAUCAGUUCAUAAACUUAACAGAGACGUUUUAGUAAAUCUCAUUAUUCCCUCUAUUUCUCGGUCUCAAAUUGUAAAAUUAACGUCCAUGGUUCUUGCACUCAUUAAAGCUUACAACUUGCAGUAAAAGUAGCUACCUGUUACUUCUUCUUUUUGGACUCCAUCUAUCAAAUUUUAAAAACAAAGACAAGAAUGAGAAAAGGGCCUCUUUUUUCAAGAACUAAAUUUGAGAGGAAGGUUAGAUGGCUAGGAUUUAGGACUUCUCUUAACUUUGUAGGGAAUUUAGACUUUUUAUAUUCUCUUAAUGGUAAAAAUCACUCAAAAUGGCCGGAAGGACCAAUUUGUCCAGUGGAGCGAAACCACAGGGACUAAAUAAUGCUUUUCCAUUAAGCAAAACAUAAGAAAGAACAACAACAACUGAGCCUUAAACUAGUUACAGUCAGCUGUGUGAAUUUUUUAUCAUUCUACUAUCUUCACAGCUAAACCCUGACUAAUAUCCAAAUAUUGUAAAUCUCUGUAACAACUUCCCUCCACUUGGUUCUAGGUUUACCUCUUUCCCAUUUAGCAACCCGUACUAUCUAAAUAUUACACUUACAAACUGUGGUAUACAGAGGUCCACGUAACACAUACAUACCAUUUCAGACGUCAUUUUCUCAUUUUAUCUCCAAUUUUUGCUCCUUGUACCUUUAUCUAAAAUAAUAAUUCCUAAUCUUGUCUAAUCUUGUGUGACCACUAAAGACAUACAUCUCAACAUCUGCAUCUCCACAACGUUCAACUUAUGAACAUGUUGGGUAUUUAGUGCCCAACAUUCAAUCCCAUAUAACGUUGCCAGUCUCACCAUCGUCCUAUAGAACUUAUCUUUCACCUUGUUAGAUAUCUUCAUAUCACAUAACACACACUUGUAUCACUCCUCCAUUUCAUUCAUUUUUCUUGAAUUCUAUGAAUAACAUCCUCAUCUAUCAAACUUCUCUUCGGUAACAUUGUACCUAGAUAUCUAAAUUGACUGCAUUUGGGCACCAUCGUAACGUCUAAUCUAACUUCACCUCCCUACUUCUUACUUAAGCCAAACACGCAAUUGAUAUAUUGUCUUCUUCUUAACCUGAAAUCCUUACUCUCGAGAGUGCGCCCCUAUAAUUUCAGCUUUAAAUUGAGUUCCUCUCUAGUUUCAUCAAUUAGAACAAAAUCAUCUGCGAAUAACAUGCACUAAUGAACAUCCUCUUUUAUAUUAUUGAUUGGCUCAUCCAUUACUAGGGUAAAUAAGUAUGAGCUCAAAGUAGAUCCUUGGUGUAGCACAACAGUUGUGAGGAACUCCUGUUUAUCUCAUUCAACUAUUUUUACACUUGUGGCUGCAUUUUCAUGCAUGUUAUCCUUAAUGACGUUUAAAUACUUCCUAACUAUAUUUUCUUUUCCAGACGAUAAAGCUUUUUAGUUUGUUGAUUUCCUUGAUUGCACAGGGUGACUCUGAUAAUGUAACUCGUUAUCUGGUUCUUGCAAGGGAUCCAAUAAUUCCAAGAACUGAUAAGGCACAUAAGGUAAAUCAUCAUUUAGCCACAUCACAUGUUACUUUGUCUGCUUAGUGUUCUUAGAAUUUCAAUGUGAGUGUCUUUUUUGCAGACAAGCAUUGUAUUCACUUUGGAAGAAGGCCCAGGGGUAUUGUUUAAGGCCUUGGCAGUGUUUGCAUUAAGGGACAUAAAUUUGACAAAGGUAUCUUUAACUAAUAUCAUUUCUAAUUCUUAUCUAUGUAAAAAGAUUAGACAAUAAAUAUUUCACUUCUCUGUUCAAUCCCAGAUAGAAAGCCGGCCACAGAGAAAGAAGCCAUUAAGAGUUGUUGAUGAUUCAAAUACUGGAAGUGCUAAGUAAGUAUAUUCCCAUUGUUUUAUAGAUUGGUUAGCAACCAAUCGGGUACUCUUAUCAAGUGCUCUUUCAUUCAAUAUGUAUCAUUGGAUAGUUAGAAUCAAUUCAACUUUAUAACUUCUGGGUUUUCCAAUAUAUUUUUAAAACUUUACAAUGCCUGAUAUUCUGCUUAUCUUGAAUUUACUAGCUAAUCCCUUUGCCUGCAGUAAGAGAACUAACAGGGGUACAUUGGAUAGUUAGAAUCAAAUCAACUUUAUAACUUCUGGGUUUUACUCCAAUAUAUUUCUAGAGCUUAGCAGAAGCUGCUGAAUGUAUAUUCUGCAUAUAACAUCGUGUUCUAUUGGCGAUGCUUUGCCUUAUCCUUUCAUCACCUGAUGAAAGUUUCAAAUUUAUCCCUUUAUUGAUACAUGGCUCAUCUCCAAAAUUUUCCUUUCCUGAUGACACUGUUUUUGAUCUGUUGCCUGCAAUCCAGUGCCUGAUAUUCUUCUUAUCUUGAAUUUAUUAAUUAGCUAAUUCCUUUUCUACAGUAAUAGUUGAUUUGUCCUUUGUUGUUUGAAUGCUGAUGCACGUUGCAGGUAUUUUGACUACCUUUUCUAUAUUGAUUUUGAGGCUUCUAUGGCAGAAUCACGUGCGCAAAAUGCGUUGGGGCAUCUGCAGGUUGGAACAUAAUUAUUUUUUACCACAUCAAAUUAUUAGUAGAGCAGAAAUUUUUACAUAACAUUGCAUCAAUUUGCCUAUAACCAUUUCGCUAAAUUUAGGGUAGGUUUUUGUAUUUUUAUUAUAGCUUUCUAGUAUGAAAUUGUAAUUCCUCAGGGUUGGGAAGCCCAAACAAGUCCAAUUGUUUUCUUUUUUACCUUCCAAAUCAUAGACACUGAAGAUCAAAAAUCAAAGGAUUGUUCUAUCGACAUUCUUAUCAGAUAAAAUGUGAUAUCCAUUAUUUGUUUUGUGAAAUAAAAUCAACUUGGCGACGCUGACAAUUUACACAUCACUCCAAGUCUCCAAUUGUCUUCAAGGUUUUUACAGAGCUGGGAUAUUAUUUUGCAGGAGUUUGCAACAUUUCUUCGGGUGCUUGGUUGCUAUCCCACAGAUACAACAGCUUUGUAGCUCUCUCUUCACUAAUCACUAUACCAUAUCUAAAUAUUCAUGUCAGCAUUGGAAGAGAGAGUCAAAGCCUUUUAUAUCAAAGGUAAGCAAAAACUGUUUGAUUUUUUAUGGUGUCAGUUGUUGAUGUUCCUAUUAUAAUUAUUUGUAACUGGGCCAUUUGAAUUCUACUGAGAUAGGAACAAUAACAAGAUCAAUUGUUUUUGUGCCAAAAAACAAAAGGUAUUGUUUGUAAUGAAACCUAUAAAAUUCUGUAAGUUUUGGUUUGAUACAACUUAACUAACGAUAGAAUUUGAUUCAGUUAUAUUCAUGUAGAAAAAAUAUCACACAUUGAACAAUUAUGCAAGUGUUACAUAUUAGCUUGUGAUAAGAUAUUGUCAGCUUGAGAAGUUUCCAUAGAUCACGCUUAGGAGGGCCUCUUGCUAAUCCGAGGUGCACUGCGACACUUUUAUUUCCCCCAAUUUGUUGCAUAAAAUAAAGCUAGGCUAAAAUGCAGAUAAACUUGCCUUGACCGGGCCCAAGAUUCUAUCCAUGAACAAAAAAAACAUAAAAAUAAAAAUUUUUAUUAAAAUAAUGAUAUUUUUUACCAUACACUGGAAAAAAAAAGAAUAAAAUAAAAAUAAUUAGAAGAUUUUUUUUAUUAGUUAGGUCUAAACGUGUAAAUGUGCGGAGUUCAGCUUGAACCUGCCAAACUUGAAAAUCAAUGAGCGUAAAAAUUUUAGGCUCGAACUCAACUUGAAGUUUGAAUUCAACUCAAAAAAUUUUAAACUCAAGCUCGAAAGUUGAGUAAUUAACUUAAAACACUAUUAUAAUAUAUAUAUUAUAAUAUCUAUAUGUAUAUAUAAAUUUGAUAAGACUUGACAAGCUUUUGACAAGCCUCGUUUGCUAAAUGAGCUCAAACAGUUUGCGAGCCAACUCGAGUCAUUUACACUCUUAAUUUGGUCUAUAUGCAGGGCUAUAAGUCUAAUUUAGACAAAUAUUUUCCGCUAAAACAAGGCUAUCAACUUACUUAUAUGUUUGUUUUAUAAAAUGUAAUAUAAUCAAAUUAAAUUUUAUUAUGUCUAAAUGAAGUUAUUAUUUAUUAAAAUUGAUAAUUAAAUUCAAAUUAUUACCAAAUAAAAAAUUAAUUGAUAAAAAAUAUGAAUUACUUUUUUAAAGACAAUGUUAAUGGUCACUUUUAUAUACCAUAUUAAAUUCAUCUUACUAAUUCAAUAAAAAUAAAAACAAAAAAGAUGCCAUAAGUUCAUAAUUCAUUAAUAAACACUUCUACACAGCAAAAUUAAAGUACAGAAAUAACACGAUGACAUGUCUCACUUCACUCACCUCAUCUAUAUCUAAUUUAUCCAUAAUGUUGAAACAUGAUUUUUUCAUUAUUAUUUUCUUUUUUUAAUGUCAAAUAGCAAUAGUAAGAGAUUGAUAGACUUGACAGUGGGGUCACUUUCACAGCCAACUAUCUAUUAUCACACACAAAUGAAGUUUGAAAGGGGAACUCUUCUCUGUCACCACAUAUAUGCUAAGAGAAGUGGACUCUCCUAUAUGGAUUACAUUGCCAUAUCCCAUAUAUUACAGCUCUGUUCCUCUAGUCCUCUUGACUCCUACUCCCUUAUAAGUGGAAAUAGCAUUCCCUCUUCUUUAGGGAAUAUUUAAUGGUCUUGCAGAUACAUGGUUUAUCAGAAUGAGGAUUUGCCGGCACCAUUAUGCUAGUUUUCCACUUCACAAUGCUGCCUAUUUCACUGCACAAAAUCAAAUAAUUGAAGCUUUUGUUUAGGAGCUAUUUAUUUCAGCUUAACCUUCAACCUAUUUAUUCAGCUCUGACAAUAAAUUUGUUUGUCUAAACUGACCAAUAAGUUGUUUAUCUGAUUUAAUUAUCUAAAUGAAAAUUAAAAUAACAUUAUAUAUUAUUUCUUUUAGUAAUAAGCCGAUGAUAUUAUUUCUUAAUUAUUCAAUUCAAUAAAAUAGUAGAUUCAGCAUUCAGCAUUCAAAAUUCAGUGCAAACAAACGAUCGUCAAGUGUCUCUUUAACAUUUCUAUUUGAGAUGAUGAUGUUAAAAAAAAAAAAGAACUAUUUGAUUGGUUCAUAGUUAUAAUUGAAUUCCCAAAAAUUCAAUUUCAAUCUCGAUGUCAAAUAAGUUCUUGUUUUAAAAGUUCUUUUGAGUGGCUAACUGUGACAGAUCUGUUGUUAAUUGCACAGCCUUACCCUAAAAUAUAGCUGAUGAUAUGAUUUGCGCCAAUUAGGUAGCCUCCCAUCUACUGAAGAAAUACAUUAAAUAUUCAAUAGAAAAGUUAAUUAAAUUCUACCAAGUGAUGCAAGGAGACACAAUUACUUUAAUUAGAUAUGUGAUACCACCUAAUUCAUAAUUAAAAAAGAUUAAGGCUCCAAUAAUUUCUUUUCUUUGUUUUUUAAUAAUCAAAAAUCCCAAACUUAAUCUUAACCUAAUAACACUUAUUAACUGGUUGCUGACAACAACCCAACUUUCCAUUUUCUGGAUUCAUAUACACCUACCCAUCUCUAUAUUUAGAAAAUGUUAAAUUUAUAGUAUUUGAAAAAUAAUCUGAAAUUAUAUGCAAAGGGCUUAGUCCUCAUCAACCAAGAUUGAUCAAAAGAACAUAUCAAAUUCAACAAAAUCUUUAUCCCACAAUCUUGGACCCACAUUCCAAAAUGAAUACUCACUUUCAAGAAAAAGAAGAAAAAAAGCUUAAUUAAGAAAAAUGGACCAAAAAGGUACCUGAAAGGAAGGGCAAUGUAAUCAUUUCCAAAAUUUUGAAGGGCAGUACUAUCGAUAAUUGAUAGAGAAUAAGCUUUGUCAAGCUCCAUUAUUGCCCACAUUAGGUUAUCCUCUGUCAUAUUUUCCCUGCAAGGUAUUACAACAAUUUUCACUCAUAACCCAAUUGAUUAUCAGAAUUGAUUCUUCUUUUCUUUUUCUUGGUUUUUCAGAACAUCAGGAUAGUACUGCAUUAUGAUAAGAUAAUUAUCGGAUUACUAAUGCAAUUUCAAAUCAAUUUAAAUAUAAAGAAAAAGUUAGAGAUAGAUAUAUCUAAUAAUUCUUGAAAAACCUAUCUUGAUAACUAAAAGAAAAGGAAAGGAAAAAGAAAAAAGACCCAAGAAAUUAUUUAAGAACUGAGAAGAAGCAGAUGCGAAUAUUAUAUAUGUCGAAUACUGCAUAUUAAAAAGAUAAAUUAGUUGAGAAAAAUAAGGAGAAUAUAUUACCUGUAAUAUCACUGUAAGUAGGUGAACUGUGAAGCAACAAGAGAGAGUGAGGACAGAGCCAUGAUCAGAGAAUUCUCAUCUUUCUUUGCUUUUGUAGUGUAUCAGGUGAUGAAGAAGACAGCGGAAAAAGGAUAUGAGGUUCAUUGAACCUGGCCACUCCAUGCUGGUCCGUAGGAUUGCUUUUAGCACUAAAAUGAAAUAAUGUACGUAUAUAUUCGAUUGUUGAGAAUAAUGUACGCAUAAUUGCAUUAGUGUUGCUAAUGCCGAUGCUAAAGCUAAAAAGUGCACGUGAUGAUGGAUAUAUUUAUAUAUUUAUUUCACUAAGGUUUUUAUUUGUUUUUGUAAAUAAUUUUAUUUUAAAGGAAAAUAUUUUUUACAUUUUAAAUUAUUUGAGAUGUUCAAAAAAAUAAAUCAAUGAAAAAUAUUUUUUUGGUCAAAGAAAAAUUAAAUUAUUUUUUAAGGAAAAUUUCUCAUUUUCAAGAGAAUAAAACAUUUUAUUUUAUAAAAUUUCAAUUAUUAUUAAUAUUUUUCAUGGUUUUAUGAUAUAAAAAAUUAUGACUUUUAACUAAUUUUCAAUAUUACAACCAAACAACGGAAAAUAAGUCAUUUGCAAAAUAUUUUUCAACGAAAAUGUUUUUCAUAAAAAUAUUUUUAGCAAAUUAUUUUCCUGUAAGUUAUUUUACGGAAACAAACAGAGGUUAAAUAUUAAUAUUUUUUUUUGAAAGGAAUAAAUAUUAGUAAUUAUUAUUAUCAAAUAAGUAUAACUGUAUAUAGGGGUGAAGCCAUAACCUAAGAUGAAAUAAUCUUUUUAAAAGAAAGAGCAAAAACUUCUUUGCUCCCUUGAUAAAUUCUACGAAAAUAAUUAAAUAUAUUAAAUUAAUGAAUUAUAUUAAAUUUUCAAAGAUUAAAAUUAUCAAAAAUAAAUAAAUUAAAAAAAUAUACAAUAAAAAUUGAAAAUUGAAAAUCUUGCAAAGAGCAACAAACGUUUUCUAAUCAGAAGCGUACAAUAACACAUUUCUAGGGACGGAUUAACUUUUUAAAAAUUUUCAGUAUAUAUUAUCCAUCGUUUAUCUAUACAAGAAAAAAAAAAAACUCAUUUGAAUUAACAAAUAGGAAACUUUUCCCGUUUUGCUCUGUCGGAGUGUCGGUGUGAGUCAGCAGUUUUUGACUAAUGGAAAGGAAAAAGACAAAACAAGACAGGGGAGCUUAUCAUAAUUAUAUGUAUAUUUUAUAAUUGUAAAUUAUUUUCUAAAAUUAUUAGAAAAUUAAAAAAAUAUAGCUACAUUUAAUAGUCUCUUAAUUCACAAUUAAGGAGUUUUUUCUUAUUUACAAAUUUCUCGAUUGCAUAAAACAUUGAUUUAAUAUGUUACAUAAAAAGUUCGUUUGGAAAGUAAAUAUUUUCGAUUGGUGCCUAUAAAAAAAAAAAAAAGAAAAAGGGAAUUGAUAUUGGAGUUGUCUUAAAAUAAAAGAAUUUAAGAAUUCACUUAUGUUCCAUUAAAAAAUUAUAAUAUAAGGUGAAUGUCAUUGUUUUGGUUAAUGUACAGCAGAAUUUUCAAAGGAGCAUAUAAUUUUUGGGUUUUUUAGACCCAUAAUAAAUGAUUUCCAACUGAAACUCUCAUAGAGUUUAUUAUAAUUUAAGAGCAAUUCGUAUAAAAUAUCUCAACUUUGCCCAUUGUAUUAAUUGCAUCUCAUUUUUACUUUAACACCUGGAAUGCUCCAAUUUUUAAAAUUAUUAAAUAAUUCGAAACGAACUGUACCGUAGAUGAAUCGGAAUCAAAACGGAACUGUCGAUUCAAAAUUUUAAACCAGAAUCGGCGGUUCAAAGGCCGAUUAAAGUUUAUGUGAAUGUUAAAAUCUGAAUCUAAACCGGCAGUUUCAGUCCGAUUCGAAUCGAAAAUUUUCAAUUUUUAUUUUCAAAUAAUAAUUACUUAGCCUAUUUUAUACAUCUCUAAAAGUCUCAAUAAUAUUUUACUACAUGAUAUACUUUAACUUAAGAUUUUUUUUGAAAAAAAUACACUUUACUUUAAAAGUUAAAAAUCUAAAAAGUAAAAUGGUAAAAAAAAAAAAAGAAAUAUUUAGUCUAAAUUUAUAUUGUUUUUACCUUUUUUUUUAGCCUUUUAAAUUGUUUACUAAGUUUAAAAUUACAUUCUUUUGAAGCAUUUUUCAAAAUUUUCUUAUAAUUUAUUUAAUUAAUAACAUUUAAACAAAAUAAAGUGAUAACUUAUUUUAUUAUUUUGUAAAAUUAAUUAAUUUUAUUCUUAUAUGAGUAAAGCAUUCUAAAAUUUAUUUAAAAUAAAAUUUACCAAUAUUUUUUAAAUUCAUAUUAAUAUUUUCAAAAGAAAAAUAUAAUGUUUAAACCGAUUUUUUUAAUAUAUAUAUCGCCGAAAAUCGUGAUCGGAACUGAUAUAAAAAAACAUAUAUAAUUCCAUCGUACAAAUGUAAGCAUUAGUUCAAUAAAAUUUUUCUUCUGAAAAAAAAAAUCAAUAAAAUUUUUAAUAACAAACUAAUAUGAAAUAUAAAUUAUAUGGUAUAAAUGAAACUAACAUUUGAAUUUUAAAAAUAGUCAAUAAAUUUAAAUUUGAAUCUCAAAAAUAGUCAAUAAAUUUAAAUUUGAAUCUCCUCGUAGCAACGCCUAACGUACAAUAAAAAAAUAUAAAAACAAAAAUAAUAUAACAAAAAUAGUUAAAUUUCAAUCCUUUAAAAAUUAUAAAAAAAUAAAAACCCACCAAAUCUUUUUUUUUUUUUGAAACUCUCCCAUCAAAACUAGUGAAAUUAAUAUAGAUUAAAUGAUUAACCACCUCCAAAACAAAAAUCAGCCAACCUCUAUUCCUCAUACUUUCAAUUCAUUUUCAUCCACUCUUAAACAUCUAUCUAUUGGACAAAAUUAAAAGAAUAAAACUACAUAAUGAAAUAUAACAUAUACACAAGUGCAAUUGAGCAAAUUGUAACAUUACUAGUCAAAUUAUUAUUUUCAGCAUUGUCCUCAAAAAAAAUUAUUUUCAGCAUUAAUAAUUAAUUAAUUAUAUUAGGGCUUCACUUUCAUGCUUGCUUAGGCUUAGGGUUAAUAGUAGGAUUAAACAAGAAACGAAAAACCCAAGCAGCCGAAGUAGCUCCAAUUAAAGGGCAAAUCCAAUAAACAUAGAACAAAUCCCAACUAUUAUGCCAAUUAUUUGCAUAAGCCCAUCCAUAUGCAUUUGCAGGAUUCAUACAAGGCCCAGUAUACUUACCGCCGAUCACCACCAAUCCAGCCGUCGCCGCCUUCACCAACCAAAUCUUCACCCACAAAUUCUUUGGUCCUCUGACCAUAACCAAAAGCAAAGAAAAACAAAGCCCAAAACUCAAAAUCCCUUCUGCUAAUCCUCCUGUAUGUAAAUCCACUUUCAAAGAAGGACCUUUUAGCAAAUUCCUAUACGUUCUUGGCAUCGCCUGUAAUAUUGCUUUGACGCCGACAACUCCGCCGGCUGCCUGAGCUGGAAAUCGGACUGCCAUGGUUUUUAGAGAGAGGGAUCCACUUGGUUUAAGUCCGGCGGCGUAUAAGGAGACAGUCGUGGUGGGAUUGUAACUAGCACCGCCUAAUGCAGCGCCUACUAGAAUAAAUAUUAGCAUAAAAGAAGUGGAUAGGUUUAUUGAUAUGAAAAGACCUGAUAAUGAUUUUGGUUCAACGCCUACAGUUGAUGCUAUAAUGGUGGUUAAAACGCGCAGUAUUGGCACGCUAAAUACCCAUAGAGAUGUUAAAAUUGCAUCUGCCAUGGCUACUCUGAUCAAACCCAUCUCCGUUUCUUCUCUUCAGAGGAAAACAGAAAUGCUUGUCCAGGGCAGUACAGAGCAAUCAGAGAAAGAAGAAAAGAAGGCAGCGAAUAAGAGAUUAGUGAUAUAAACAAACAAAAAAUACAGUUUUCUUUUAAGAAUUUUUGUUUCUUUUUAUUUGUUGUUUAGGCUUUUUGGAGUUCUCUAUUCCGAUGCUUUAUCAGAAGUACUGGCCCUGGUUGUAUUUUUUUAGCAUUACUUGCUCUUUCCACAAACCUUUAAAAAACGAGAGAGACGUGGAGGAAUUUAGAAGCGAUUCUAAGUGGAUAUUUAGAACGAUUAAUUAUAAAUUUGAUGUCAAUUUUUUAUUUUUUUUUAAUUUUAACGUGCGAAAGAAAAAUUUUAUUAAUUGAGGGCUGUCCACGUGGACAUGGUGAUCACAUUACACAAAAUAAAUAAUCCAAUGUGGCUUUGUUAAUGAAAUUCCCUAAUUGGUUUUCACCUCUCAAAGCUCUGUUUUGGCCUGUUGAAGAAAAGUGUAAGGAGAUAGGUUGCUUUUUUUGGCCUUGGGGUUAUCAAACGUCUGUUGCUCUAUGUAUAUCGAGUGUUUGAUAAAACGUGUGAAAGAGUUUAUUUCUCUAAUACACGUUACACUACGUAAUUUAGCUUAAAUGAAUUCAACAUUUAGCUUAUCAUCUGUACUUAAUGGCAUGUGAUGACCUGAUUGGUAGCAAAAGUAUCGCAAGUGUUAAGUGAUGAUUAUAGGCUUUAUUUGAUUGCACAUAUUGUGUUUUGUUGAAAUGCACCUAAGAGGAUACAUUUCCAGCAACAUUUGAAUGCUAACGUACAGGGAUGAGCACGGUUUGAUUUGGUGCUGUGUGGAAAAAGAGAGAGAGAGAGAGGAGAGAGAGAGCUAUCACUAUCAUUAAUAUGCCCUUCUUUUCAAGCUUGCUUAGGCUUGACAACAGGAGGGCUAAAGCUAAAUAGUAAACGGAAAACCCAAGCAGCCAAAGUUGCUCCAAUCAAAGGGCAAAUCCAAUACACAUAAAACAACUCCCAACUAUUAUGCCAAUUGUUCAUAUAAGCCCAUCCAUAAGCAUUAGCAGGGUUUAAGGAAGGCCCUGUAUAUUUCCCGCCGGUAACCACCAAACCCACCGUCGCCACCGCCAGCAACCAGACCUUGACCAAAAAAUUCUUGGGCCCUUUAACCAAAACAAUAAGCAAAAAAAGGCAAAACACAAAACUCAAAACCCCUUCUGCAGUUGCACCUGUAUGCAAAUCCACUUUCAAAGAAGGACCCUUCAGGAAAUUUUUAUAUUUUAUUGGCAUAAAUUGCAAAAUUGCUUUGGCUCCAAAAACUCCACCAGCCGCCUGAGCAGGAAACCGGAUCGCCAUGGAUAUUAAAGACACAUCUGGCUUAAGCCCCGCGGCAUAUAAUGAUACGGUGGUUGUUGGGUUGAAACUGGCACCUCCUAACGCGGCGCCGAUCAGGCUGAAAAUUAGAACAAAAGGAGUGGCAAUAUUUAUAGCUAUGAAAAGGGCUGGUAUUGAUUUGGGUUCAACGCCUAUAUUUGAUGCUAUAAUGGAAGUGAAAAUGCCGAGAAAUGGCAGGCUAAAGACCCACAUGGUGGUUAAAAUUGAAUCUGCCAUGGCUGCUUUGAUUAAACUCAUAUCUGCAAGUCCGCUUGCAGGUUUGAAACUGAAGAUAAAAACAAGAAAAGUGAAGGCCAAGUGAGGAUUAUGUCGUUUAGCGAUGUAAAGCGUAGAAAAGAGAUUCUAAAGAUCCCUUUCGUUGUCCUCUUUUGCAUAGCAAGACUUUGAAAUUUCCACCACCGCUUUGUAUACACGCAGACGUACCUAACCAUCCAACCAUAUAAAAAUUACAUGUCAAACACGUGCGAGAGUGGCAAGUAAAUGUAAUAACUAUUACAGUCAAAUACGAAGCGAGUAUAUUUGGCAAAAUUAAUUAUUUAACAGUUAUUCAACUGUUAACUGUUUAAAUUAUUUUUUAUAAAACAUCAAAAAUUUAAGUUACGUGAGUUAAUUUUUUAUAAAAUUUAUCUAAAUCUCUAAUAAUCUAAACGUUAUAUAUUGUCGAAUACUAUAAAAAAUAGUAUCUAACAUUUUGACUAGUCAAAAUGUUAGAAGCUAGCUGAAAAUUUUUUGCUGAAUACAGCCAUAAUAAUUAUUUACUUCCUCGGUCCGUUUUUAUUUUAGAAAGGUGGAUUAAUUAUAUUUAUGGCAUGAAUUUUUCGGUUUUUUUCAUUUCGAUUUAUGAAGAAAAAAAAAUUAUAAUUGAGUGACUAAAUUAUUAAAAAAAGUUAUUAUAUGUAUUUAGCUGAAUUAUUUUGUCAGAAAAUAAAAAUAAACUAUUUUACUCAACAAAUAAUGCCAAAAAUAAAUAUUCAUUCAAUUCAUAAUUUUUUUCUAUAUUUUUAUUUUAUGGCAUCUUCCUGCUAGUACACUUAAUUAUAUAAAAAUAAUUAGGCUAGUACACUUAAUUAUAUAAAAAUAAUUAGUUUAGAGACUUAAGUAUAAUUUAUUUUCAUUUUUGAUGCCAAUGUAGAAAAAAUUUAUAAGUUUGGACACGAUAAUAUAUUAACUAACUAGAUGAAAACCGCACAACCAGCAAGUUAGUUCAUUACCAUAUUAUAUAUCAUAUAUUUUUUUCUGAAAUGAAUAAUUUAAAAAUUGACAAGUAUAUAAAUAAUAAUUAAUUUAUAUUAAUUUAGAAUGUUAAAUUAAUUUAGCAAUUCGAUUUUAAAAAACUAAUUCACAAAGAUACAAUCUAUCAAAUGUUGGUAGAUUAUAACUUUUUUUUUUUAACUUAAUCUAAUUAAGAAUUAACUAGAUAAGUGAUAAGUAAUAACAAUACAUAGAUUCACAAUUUUUCCUCAUUUAUGAUAGAAUGGACGUGAUUUUUGAGAAUUUCAUUCCAUGCAUUUUAGGUUGCACAAGCUAAUUUUGUCUGCGUGUUGUUGCGGUAAUUAUUUACACUUUUAAGAAAUAUUAGUCUCUUUAUAACCUGAAGUUGCACAUUUACUGCUCGUUUAAUUUUUUAUGUCAUUAUUCAUUUUUAUUUGUUAUUUCCUCCGUUUCAUUUAUUUGGAAUUCAGAGGGAGCAUUCUUUAGACCGAACGGCAUUACAUUCCAUUCGUAUUGUCCAAAUGGUUCUAUAAAAGCAUUUUUAUAUCGGUCUUGCUCAUUUAUUUGUACCUGCCAAUAUCCAGACUUCAUAUCAAAUUUUAAGAAGAUAUUAGCAGAGUAAAGUCUAUUUAAUAAAUCUCUUUUAUUGGGUAAUGGAUAUCUAAUCCAGCGUAAUGCCUUAUUAAGUGGCUUGUAAUUAAUGACAAGUCUUGGAACACCACGUUCCAAUUCUGCAUUAUUUUCCACAUAAAAGUCAGCACAGCUCCAUGGGCUUUGGCUAGGCCUUAUUAGCCCUUUCUUUAACAGAGAUUCAAUUUCUGUUUUGCAUAUUUCAAGAUGGCGAGGCCCCAUCGCAAUGGGCCGGGCCUUAGUGGGAACGUUCUGUUCCUGAAAAUCGGGUUCAUAGGGCAAAGUAACUACAUGUUUCUUUCUGGCCCAAAACGCUAUUGGAUUGUCAGAACAUAUUGUCGAUUCUAUUUUUGUGUGUAUUUCUUUAAUCGGUAAAUAAUAUUGGGUAUCUAGUUUCUUUUUUAGCUCUUUUAGCUUAAUUUCUGUAGAUAAAGAAUUAAUAAAAUGAUUUUUAUUUUUCAUUGUGGUUUUUACCACAUCUAUUUCUUUAAUACGUGGUUGAGUAAAAAAUUCGAAGAUAAUGUCUUGACCUUCGAGUUCAGUAACAAUUCCUUUUUCCGAUAUUUGUUUAAUCGGGUAUAGCAUAUGUAAAAAAGGGUUACCAAGAAUUACUGAAUGAGAUAAUCCUUUUACCAUGAUAAAUGGUAAUUGAAAGCAAAUCCCUUUGUUACAUAUUGCAGUAUUUUGGAGUUUAUAUUUAUCUCCCAUUUUACUUCCAUCAGCCGUAUUUAAUUCUUCAACUGUUUUUUCAAAAUAUCGGGAUGGUACUAAGCCUUCAUUAAUACAAUUCAGAUCAGCGCCUGAAUCGAUUAAGGCAAUUGUAUCAAAGAUAUAUUCUUUAUGGACAACAAUAGUGACUUUAGUAUGCCAUUUCUGGGUAAUGACCCGGUCUACUAAAUUCACAUAUUGAAGAUCAUUAUUUGGAGCAGUAAGAGUUUGUUCUUCAUUAAACUCAAGCUCAUCUUUAUUUAAUAAUUCAAGAAAGACAACUCUAUCUCUUAAUUGUUGUAAUUCUGUCUUUACUUGAUUUAUUUCGCUUCGUAAUUCUUGAAGCGUAGGCUCACGUUUAGCCUUUGCGAUUUUAAGCUUAUCAAAGAUAGCUUUAAUAUCAUAAUAGGGUUGUGUUGUCUCUUCUACUUUCUUUAGAAGAGGUUGUGCUGAGGAUGAUGGCCUAUCGUUUUGUAAAGAAAGAUAGUUUUCUAAUUGUUCUCUUUUUCUUUUCUCAUCUGGAAGUUGAUCGAUUAAAUCAAGGAUGAGAGAAUCCUUUUUUGUGAGAACAUAAAGGCCAUUCAUAACACAGAGUGAUUUAUAAUAAUCACACUGUCCUUCACAAGUGUCUUUUUCUUUAGACGACUCUUCUCGUUCUGAAUCUUCAGACGUAUAAUCAAUAGCAUUAAUUGUAUUAUCUUCGUCUGAAUCAGUUUCAUUAAUAAAUAAUUUUUUUAACGAUUUCUUUAGCUCUUCAUCGAUGGUGAGAGCUUGUAUUUGUUGUUUCAUAUGACACUUAUUAGCAUAAUGUCCUACUCUGCCACACCGAUAACAGGCUAUUUGUGAUUUAUCUUUUCUAGUCUUAUGGGUUUUACUAGAUUUAGGUUUUUCCCUAUGUUCUUUUUUAGGAGCCUUUUCAAACCUAUGCUUUCGUCUAGGUUUCCAUGACUUUCUAUAUUUUUCUUUAUGAGAACUAGAGCUAGUUUUCCAAAUAGGUUCGUACCCAAAUUGUUCACAGAAAGUGCCUAAGAUUCUUUUUCCUGACUGUUUUUCUUUUUCCAUUUGCCUAUGUAUUUUUAUUUCAUUACAUAAGGCUAAUCCUUCUGCUACUACUUCUGAUGCUAGCUCUCCAUAUGUAUAAGUAUUAUAGGGGAUUAUACCAUUGUUUUUAUCCCUAAGUCUAGUACGGACACGUUCAGCAAAUAAAAGAGGAAGGCCAGAUAUAAAUUUUUCCUUCCAAAAAUCAAACUGACUGUCUUCUCUAACUAGUACAGCGGUCAAAAAGACGUCUUUGUACCAUUUAAAGUGUGACAUAUCAGGACAGCGUAAAUUCAUUAGUUGUUCAUGGGUCCUUUCAGUUUGCAUAGAUGUUGGACCAAUAAAAUGUAAUCCUAUCGUAUAGAGAAGGGUAUUUACCGCUUGUGGUACUUCUCUAUGACGUGUUUGUUGCUGUUCAUCUUUAUAUUCUUCCAUUGUAACAGCAUUUUCAAUUUGAUCUUUACCCUCUUGGGUUAGAGCAAAAUCCCACCAACCUUUGAGUUGGCCUACGAAUCCUGCAACUAUAGCUUUUUUAAUUUCUUUAUCCGAGUUUCCUCGAAUUCGACAGGCUGUUGCAUACAUGGUCAUGUAUUGUAAAACAUUUUUUAUCUGAUAAUCAGAUAGACCAUCUAUAUUCCAUUCCACUAAUGAUUGCCCAUCAUAUUGGACAUAGUUGAAUGAAGGAUCUUCAUAUUGCAUAUUCACAGGCGACGGUCUAGGAUAAUAUGGUUUGAUAUCGACCAUUCCCCGUGCUCUGGGAUAUGUAAUUUUGUUAAUUUCAUUAACGGAUUUCAGAGUUUGUUCCAGAUGUAAAAGUUCUUGAUCUGGUCGCUCAUCUAAUGAAUCGUUAUCAGACGAGGAUUUAACUGUUAAUGGAUAUAAAUCUUUAUCCUUUCCUUUAUCUUUCAUGGAUAACUGGUUUAAUCUUUUUGUAAUUUCUUCAACCACAUCAUCUUUUGGUGAAGAUAAAGUAAAGUUUUCUGGAUGUAUUGUGGGUUUAAACAACACAGCCUUUUCUUGACCUCCAAGAAUGCCCCACAUAAAAAAAAAUCUGAUUGUGUAUGCAUUAAAUUUAAUUGCAAAAAUGUAUAAGUGGUGCUCAUUGAAAAGUUUGGUGCACACCUUUUACUCAUCUGUGUAACUCCAGAAAUACAAAAUGCAUGCAACUUAAUAUAAAAUACACGUAUGUAUUGAAGAGGAUUGAAAUAAAUAAAUAAUAAAACGUCUACAAACACAAUGUAUGUUAUCGCAAUAUUUGCUUCGAUCAUUGAUUUAUCUCAAAAUUUUUAAUCUUAAGCUGUUACUUUUGAGUUUUUCAGUUUUAGUCAUUAAUUGAUUUUAUUGGGAGAAGAGAGCAUAACAUAAUUGACUUUAAGUGAAAAAUGGUGUAAUAAAUGCAAUGUUGAGAGUAAAUUUGAAAAAAAAUUUCUUUCCUUAAUUCCCGUGCAAACCAACUUUUGCCUAAAUAACCGAAAUGGAUUAAGUAUUUAUAUUCGUUUUUAAAAUUAAAAUUUUCAACUGUUUGUUAUUCCACAUAUACAUACGUUCUUUUUUAUUUAAAAAUAUGACUAUUAUUUAAAUUAAUUAUCCUAAACUCAAAUAUUAUUAUUAUAUUAUAUUAAUAUAUUAUUAUUGGUCAAUGGAUUGAAGAAAUAUUCUAGAACUUAAUUGAACCAAUUAAAAUAAGGAGCAACUUAAUAAAGGUUAAAAUAAUAGGUUUUUAUUUUAAGAGAAUGUCAAAAAAAAUAUAAAUUAAAAGAAAAUAUCAAUAUUAGUCAAAAAUAAAAUUGUAAGUCCAUCAAAUUAGGUUGGAUUAGGCCGAAUUGCUCGGUGGAUCAGGUUAAAACGGAUCAAGUGCACUAUUAAUUAGGGGUGGCCACGGUUCCAGAACUGGCGGUUCCGGUUCCAAAAAAAUUGGAGCCGGAACUGAACCGAAAAGGUCCGUUUUCGAUUUCGGUACGGUGACAAAACCGACGGUUCCGAUUGGUUUUCUGGCGAAUCGCAUAAUUUUAAAUUUUAAAUUUUGAAGACCGGUUUUCAAAAUUUAAUAAAUUUGUGAAAGUUAUUUGUAAAAAAAAUACACCUGAAAAAUUAAAAAAUACUUCAAUUAAAUUUAUUUUUUUAAAGACUUGAACAUAAUUAUUUUUUUUAAAAAAAUUCUUCAAUUGAAUUUAUUUUUUGUUUAAAAAAAUUUGAACAUAAUUUGAAAAAAAAAAAACAAAACUGACAGUUGAUAAUGGCUCCCAANNNNNNNNNNNNNNNNNNNNNNNNNNNNNNNNNNNNNNNNNNNNNNNNNNNNNNNNNNNNNNNNNNNNNNNNNNNNNNNNNNNNNNNNNNNNNNNNNNNNNNNNNNNNNNNNNNNNNNNNNNNNNNNNNNNNNNNNNNNNNNNNNNNNNNNNNNNNNNNNNNNNNNNNNNNNNNNNNNNNNNNNNNNNNNNNNNNNNNNNNNNNNNNNNNNNNNNNNNNNNNNNNNNNNNNNNNNNNNNNNNNNNNNNNNNNNNNNNNNNNNNNNNNNNNNNNNNNNNNNNNNNNNNNNNNNNNNNNNNNNNNNNNNNNNNNNNNNNNNNNNNNNNNNNNNNNNNNNNNNNNNNNNNNNNNNNNNNNNNNNNNNNNNNNNNNNNNNNNNNNNNNNNNNNNNNNNNNNNNNNNNNNNNNNNNNNNNNNNNNNNNNNNNNNNNNNNNNNNNNNNNNNNNNNNNNNNNNNNNNNNNNNNNNNNNNNNNNNNNNNNNNNNNNNNNNNNNNNNNNNNNNNNNNNNNNNNNNNNNNNNNNNNNNNNNNNNNNNNNNNNNNNNNNNNNNNNNNNNNNNNNNNNNNNNNNNNNNNNNNNNNNNNNNNNNNNNNNNNNNNNNNNNNNNNNNNNNNNNNNNNNNNNNNNNNNNNNNNNNNNNNNNNNNNNNNNNNNNNNNNNNNNNNNNNNNNNNNNNNNNNNNNNNNNNNNNNNNNNNNNNNNNNNNNNNNNNNNNNNNNNNNNNNNNNNUGCACCGGGUCGACCCUGUGGUUCUAGCCGCCCGAAGAACCGGCGGUUCCAAUCCGGUUCCGACCAAUUUUUUAGAACCGCCGGUUUCGGUUCCAAAAAUCUAGAACCGGAACCGAACCGAAAAUCUUCGGUUCCGAUUCUGAUUCGAAUUGAUUCAGAUUCCCACCGGUUCUGAUUACGGUUCGAGACCGGUUCAAACCGAUAUUUUCGGAUCCCGAGACAUAAUAUGCCACCCUUACUAUUAAUUCGUUAUGACCUACUGAUCACGGACAAGAACAUGGCAUUUAUUUACUUUGACAUCGGGACUUGCCCCGAAAUAGGUCGUCAUUAAAACAAACUAGGCUUUGUCAUUUCAACAUGCUUUUUUUCCUUUAUUUGAGAAUAUUAAAAUGCAAAUUUUUUUUGACAAAAUUUCAUCUGUUUCAAAUUGAAAUACAAAAUUAAAAUUGAAUUGUCAAAUUUCAAUUCUAGUUAAAAAUGAAUAUCUAAUGCAAUUGAAAUUGUAAGACCAAUUAAAUUUUAUAAAGGGCUAAAUCACAACCAGAAAAUGAUCAACUUUAACAUUUUUAAUAAAUUUAGCCAACAUUUUUAAUUUUAUCAAUUAUUAUUUUAGAUUUAUUUUUUCUUAUUAAUUAACGUAUUCGUCUAGAUCCGUUAAUUUAUUACUUAUUUUGGUCGUUAGUUGAUCUCAUAACAUAUCAGCUCAUUAUUACUUUUAAAAUAUCUAAGUUGGAAAAUUAGAUUGUUAAGAUAAUUUCAUUCUUAUUUCACUGUAAAUUGAAAAAAUUUAGUUCGGUUAGAUAAUUAAUAUGGACCCUCAACGAACAAUCCGCAUCGUCAUCAACCCCAAGUCCACCGAUAAGUAUUUUCACUUCCAGAGUUGCAUCAUUCGACUGCACUUAAUCGGAUUCUAGAUGGAGACUUAAUAAUAAAAAGUAAGUAUAAAGCAUUAAUGGAUAAAAUUAAAAGUGUUAGCCAAAUUUAAAAAAGAAAAAUUCAAAAGUUCAUGCUUUUAUGAUUAAGCCUUUAUAAAACUAAAAAUUAACAAAAAAAUAGGCAAAAAUUUAAAUUUCUAAUUAAAAUGUGGAUUCUCAAUUCAACAAUAAUUUAUAUUCAACAAUAGUAAACAUUAUAUUAAAUAAGAUAUAACACAAAACUGCAAAAAUUAUUCAUUUUUAAAAAGAGAAAUAUAACAAUAAUUUAGUACAAGUAAAAUUUAAAAGGGAAUCAAUUCCACCGAAACAGAGAAGUACUAUUUUCCUUUUGAGAAAAAAUAAUUUUUGCAGUUUCGUAUUAUAUAUUUAUUUAAUGUGUAUCUCGACCCAGCAAGUAUAGAUUCUUGCAUAUUGCUAACUACAUAUCUAUAAUUACCUUAAACCUUGUUUGCAAAAUAAUUUAACAUUAAUUAUUUAAUUUUAAUAGAACCACAUGGAUAAUUUAAUAUUAAUGUAAUGACUAUUUGAAAAAAAGUUAAGCGAAAAUUAUAAUUUAAACAUAUUAUUAAUUAUAUUUUUUUAAUAUGUAUGAAAAUUAAAGCACGUGUAUUUUUAUGGAAUGGAGAAGCGGUAAUAAUAUUAAUAUUUAUAUAUUAAUAAAAUAUAUUAAUAUAUUAUAACUAAAAAAAUCAUAGAACUAUAUUAUUUAUAAAAUGUUAAAAUAUUAUUAGAAUAAAUUAUACUAACAUCUAAAAAUAAUUAUUUUAUUUCAAUAAUAAUUUUAAAAUUAAUUAUCGAUAAAUUCGUUUUCACAUCAGUUCAAACAUGUAACACCUUCGUUCAAGGAAAUUUUUUACCUACAUCCGGUAUAUGGAUGGUCUCAUAUACUAAGUCAAUUCAAAAUAUAUUUUUUCUCCAUGUAUAGUUGAAAAUAUUCUCAUUUAAAUUAAAAUUUUAUCUAUAAUUAUUUGUUAUAUAGGUAAUUUGGUAAACCCAUACAGCAAGUGUAUGCAAGUGUUUCGCUUCCUUCAAAGUGAAACUCAAACAUAAUGUCAUCAAAAUAAAAAAAAAAAAAAAAUCUAUAUCUAUAUAUCUAUAAAAGAAGGGUGGUUUUAUUAUAUGAAAGUCAAACGUAAGUAGCACAAUUUAUCAUUUGACAGUAUUUUGGAUUAUAAAAUGAUAAAUGUUAGAAUUCUAAAUUAAGUUGUUGGACUGAUUUUUUUUAAAGAAAAAAUCACAAAAAUAAAUUUUUAAAAAACACUUCAUUUUUUCUUGGUAAUAGAAAACAAUCCUUAGUUGAUUAGCUUGGUGUAUGGAGUAAUCUCAUAUUCAAUAAGUUAGGUCGCACGAACACAGAACACGAGAUACGAAAAUAUAGGAGAUAUGACAAUUUUUUAAAAAAUAAGACAUCCACAUACUUAAAAUACACUACACUAAAUAAGUAUAAUGUAUUAAUAUUUCAAAUAAAUAAACAAUCAGUUAUAAUAAAUCAUAAAUAUAAAAUAAAAAGUAAUUAAUUUCUUAUUUCAAUAUAAUUAGUUAAAUUCUCAACUGAACUGAUUAAUAUGCAGUUUAGAGCUAAUCUUCUCCUAUUUCAAUUUAUUAUCAUAGAUUUCAUUAAAAAAUCUCUUUUUAUUGGAAAUAAUUAAGAGUAUGACAAAGCCGAAUAACUUAUUAAGACUAUUGAAAUAUGUUUUUAGUUGUGACGAGAGUUUUGAUCAUUCACUAAUAAAAAAAGACACAAAAAUAAAUUUUAAAAAAAAAUCAUUUUUUUUUUUUGUAAUAAAAAAAAAACUUUAGUUGAUUAGUUCGGUAUAUGAAGUAGUUUCAUAUACCAGGAGUUAAAUUGUAGGGAUACAAGACACGAGAUAUAAGAAUGUAUGAGAUAUCAUAAUUUUUAAAAAGGUAGGACAUCUACAUGCUUAGGAUACACUAUACUAAAUAAAUAUAAUACAAAAAUAUUUCAAAUAAAUAAAUAAUCAUUUAUAAUAAAUCAUAAACAUAAAAUAAAAACAUACAUAAUUUCUUAUUUAAAUAUAAUCCAUUAAAUUAUCAACUAAACGGAUCAAUAAGCAGCCUAGAGCUAAACUUCUCCUAUUUCAAUUUAUUUACCAUAAUUUUCAUUAAACAUUUCUCUUUGAUGGGAAAUGAUUCUAGAGUAUGGCAGAGAUGAACGACUUACUAAGACUACUGAAAUAUGUUUUUAGUUGUAACGAGAAUAUUUUUGAUUAUUCAUUAAUAAAAAAGACAUAAACAAUUUAAAAAAAACACUUCAUUUUUUCUUAAUAAUAAAAAAAAUCUUGAUCGAUUAGCUUGGUAUAUGGAGUUGUCUCAUAUAUUAUGAGCUAAAUUUCAUUGACACGGGACAUGAGAUACGGAAAUGUAUGAGAUACGAUAAUUUUUUUAAAAAAUAGGACAUCUACAUACUUAGAACACGAUAACUAUAAUAUAUUAAUAUUUUAAAUAAAUAAACAAUCAUUUAUAAUAAAUAAUAAACAUAAAAUAAAAAUACUUAAUUUUUUAUUUUAAUAUAAUUAUUUAAAUUCUCAAAAAUUAUUAUUACUAUUGAAAAAUAUAUUAACAGUGUAUGUGAUUUUUUAACACAGGUCAUAUAAUACAUGACUUUUGUGAUUAUACAUCUCGAUGCAUGGCUUUGUAGGAUAUUUAAAAAAUUUUGUUAUUUUGGUAUCUCAUUUUAAUAUAUAUAUAUAUAUAUAUAUAUAUAGUAUCAUAGUAUUAUAGUAUUUCUCAUUGACGACCUCGCUCAAACUAAUUUUGAUUUCUUCGAGGGACGCGGUGUGGACCGAAGAAAAAGGACAUGCUGAGCUAGAUACUGCAACUACAGAGUACAGCUCAUUACACAUUGAUUUUCUGCUUACUUAAUCUCAUCAACAAGGCAACAGAUCUGUAUCUAUAACUCUUCUACCGAACUCCAAGAAUCUUUGCAACUAUUCUUCUUCUUCUUCCUUCUCUUAUGACCGACAUUGUCUUUACUCUUUUACACCAAAACAGAGAUAAAAAAGAAAUUCCCAUAGCCUUAAAAACAAAAAAGAAAAAGAAAUAAAAGAGUGUUAUAGCGAGACUUUACAGAGAGAAAGUGAAAGCCAUAUAGUUUAUUGGAUUUUCUUUUUCUUCUUCUUUUUCUUUUUGCAAGAUUCUUUCUAAUCUUUCUUGCACUUCAGUCCCAUUUCUUUUUCAGCAAGUUUGUUUAGAUAGCGGGAGCAAGUGUGUCUCUUUGUGUUGUGGAGAGAUGGGUAACCAUAGAAAUGUAUGUUCUUUCAUGGUAAUACUGUUGUUAUUGACUUGCGUUAGCGGAGAGGACCCUUACAGGUUUUAUUCAUGGAAUGUCACCUAUGGUGAUAUCUACCCACUUGGAGUAAAGCAACAGGUAAUCAAUUAAGCUCUUUCCUUUUCUUUUUUGAAGGAAUUUGUUUAUUGUUGCUUUGUUUCUUACUAGAUUUCAAUGUCCAAUAAUAUAUUUUUUCCAUGUAUAAUGGUGGCAGGGAAUAUUAAUAAAUGGGCAAUUUCCAGGGCCACAAAUUGAGUCAGUGACUAAUGAGAAUUUGAUUAUUAAUAUUUUCAAUAGCUUGGAUGAACCUUUCCUUCUUUCUUGGUCAGUAUACUGUUUUUAGUAUAGUUUCCAUUUUUUUUUUUUCAUAUAUGUUUGCCAGCUCUUUUUUUAAUUAUUUUUGAAAUUGAAUGGUCAGCAAAAUAACCUUUUUCUCAUAUUAUAUAAUGUGGCUUACUAUGACACAUUAUGUGAAAAUUUGAUAUAAGAUAGAUCUCAGGUUUUAUGGCUUCCUCUACCCAAUGUUGAAAAUUAUACAUGGUUGCUGAUUUGGAUUCUUCUGCCAAGUGUUCUGCAAAUUAUGUGGAAAAGAAAUUUUUGAUCUUGAUUGAUAAUGAGACAUGGGCGUUUAAAGUUUUGGACCACAAAUUAAAAAAUAUAUAUUGUGUAGUACCUUUUUAAUGCAGUUAUGUGAUUUGACUGGUAGGAAAUUUGUUUAAAAAUAGUAGGUCCAGAUCUGUUUUUAUGCCCUAAAUUGGCAUUAGAUAUACUAAGAAAUUGAAUAUGAGUUGUCUGUUUCUUACCAUAUUAUAAGUGGACCCAAGUUCUGGAAUUUUGAUCUUUUAUUCACACCAAGAGUUUUGUAAGUCUUGCUCAGAUUUAGAGUUGUUGCUACUGACUUCUCUUUCUGAACUAGUAGAAAGAUUCCUAAGUUUUGGAAAUUAAUUAAAACCAUAACUCCCUAUUAGGUGGAAUACUAAGUUGUUACAAUUACAAAAAUGGGGAUACGAAUAGCCCUACUCAUUUUUUAAACCAUGGAAUGCAAACCAGCUUCUUUGUAGCAACCUUUAACAGAAAUGACUUAGAGCUUUGUUCAAGCUCAAUUAAUGCAUGAAAUCAUUAAAAACUAUUCAAGUUUCUUCUUAAGUAUUUGGCUAAAUUAUACCUUGCUCGCUAACCUUGGGGAUUAUCUGAAACAAGAUUCUGUUUUCUAAAAGUUUCAAUGUCAGCCCCAAAAUUUUAUAAAUAAUUCCAAUUGGAAACCUUGGAAAUUUCAUUCCUUGAAUUGCUUCAGUUUUAUAUGAAAUCUUAAAAUUUAGACUGUGAGGGAAUGUUUUAUGAGUUCAAUAUUCAUGGACAGUGAAAAUCUAUUCGUGGAUUAUGAUUAAAAAUAUCCAACUGCAUAUAUAGAAUUCCACUCUGAAAGCUAUCACAGACUAGUUUAGCUAUUUCAUAUAUAAAUCGAAUGUAUUUGUAUCUCUGUGUAUUUAAGGCUGAAACUAAUUUGUCAAACAAAAAUUGCUAUGAAAGAAAUUUUUAAAGAAAAUGUGAUGGUUAUAGAAAUUGAAAUAUAUAAAAGUCUAUUUUCUAUAAGAGGGUGGAGUUGCAUUGUUCAUCACAAAUUUUUUUUGUAUUAUUAUGUUUAUUUUAGGGAGUUCUAUAAGUGAGUCAAGAUGAUUAAGUCAGUAUAGAUGGCAAGUUUAGAUAGAGGGCAUGGGUUAAUAUCGCUUAGGACGCAUUUGGUUUGCUUUGGGAGUGGAAUGAGAAUGAAAAUGGAUGGUUAAUAUUUCAAUUAUUUUCACUUGAAGUUAAUUAUUCGGAUGUUCAAAUAAUAAUUUAACUAUGCAAAAAGUUUUUCUAAAAAAAUUUUCUCAAAUAAAUCCAUGUAUCAAUGACACAAAAAUGGAUUCCAAUUAUAGAAAUGGCAAACUAUUCCCAUUUUCAUUGUGAAAAAAAAAAAAAAAUUGGCAUGAAUAUUUGAUGAAGGAUGCAACUUGCUCUAAGUAAUUUAUUUAUUUUUAUUUAUUAAGUUUUUAAGGAGACUAGAGAUUUGGACGUGCAUAUAAUGAUAUUUAUCAACUGCAUGUCUGCUAGUCUAGUUGUAACUCGUGUUAUUUUGGUACAGGAAUGGCGUGCAGCAGAGAAGGAACUCAUGGCAGGAUGGUGUCUACGGCACCAACUGUCCCAUUCCACCAGGGCAGAACUUCACUUAUAUGCUUCAAGUGAAGGAUCAGAUUGGUAGUUACUUCUAUUUCCCUUCUCUUGGCAUGCAUAAGGCUGCAGGAGGCAUUGGUGGCUUCAAAAUUGCGAGCCGUUCUGUCAUUCCUGUACCAUUCCCUCCUCCAGCUGGUGAUUUCACUGUUCUAGCAGGUGAUUGGUUCAAGAAGAAUCACACCGUGAGUAUAAUCCAGAAAGAAAUUCCAUGUUGCACUGAUGUUUGUUGACUCACUUUUGUUUGUUUGACGAGUGUAUAAUUGAUUAUUUACAGGAUCUGAAAGCAAUUUUAGAUGGUGGAAGUGAUCUUCCUUUCCCUGAUGGGCUACUUAUUAAUGGUCGAGCAUCAAAUGGGUACACAUUUACAGUGGAUCAAGGUAAGAAGUUAGGUUCAUCAGUUUGUCAAGUUUCAAACCUCUAUGUAUGUGAUAGUGCUUAUACUUGUUCUGUUGAAUGUGUUGGACAGGCAAGACUUACAGGUUCCGGAUAUCUAAUGUGGGGCUUACUACCUCCAUAAAUUUUAGAAUCCAAGGGCACAAGAUGUUACUUGUAGAGGUUGAAGGAACACACACGCUCCAGAACACUUAUGAUUCCCUUGACAUCCAUCUGGGGCAAUCUUAUUCUGUACUGGUUACAGCUGAUCAACCUGCACAAGAUUACUACAUUGUCGUCUCGACACGAUUUACCUCCCAGGUGCUCACAGCAACCUCUACUCUUCAUUACAGUAAUUCAGCUGGAAGUGUUUCAGGUCCUCCCCCCGGUGGGCCAACUACUCAGGUUGACUGGUCCCUUGAGCAAGCUCGAUCUAUCAGGUAUUCUCUGAAUUUCUAUUAUUAAGCGCCUCUUAUAUAUGCAUUACAAUAAUUAAUUAAUGCACAAGAAUAUAUAGAAGAUACUAUCAUUUUAUGCUUUUGUCAUGAUGAAUAUUAGAGGAGUGUCGUUUACAUGAUAUCUCCUUUUAAUUUGUGUUGUGUCAUAUAUUUUAUCAGGAAAAAUCUCACUGCAAGUGGUCCUAGACCAAACCCCCAAGGUUCAUACCAUUAUGGAUUGAUUAACACAACCCGUACGAUUAGAUUACAAAAUUCUGCUCCAAUCAUUAAUGGCAAGCAGAGGUAUGCUGUCAAUAGUGUCUCCUUCAUCCCUGCUGAUACUCCACUUAAACUCGCGGACCACUUCAACAUCCCGGGAGUUUUCUCCCUCGGAAGCAUCCCUGACAACCCCACUGGAGGCGGUGCUUACCUCCAGACUUCUGUCAUGGCUGCUGAUUUCAGAGGUUAUGCUGAAAUUAUUUUUGAGAAUACAGAAGACACGGUGCAGUCAUGGCAUGUUGAUGGUCACAUCUUGUUUGUUGUAGGGUAAGUUAAUUUAUUUGGAUUUACAUUUAUAAAAAAAUUGAUUGCCUUGUGCUAUUCGCUAUCAUUUGGGCCUCUACCUUUAGUUCUUAUCUUCUGCAUUUCUGUUUCCUCAUUCCUCUGAUGGGCAGGAUGGAUGGCGGGCAAUGGUCACCUGCGAGCAGAUUAAGUUAUAAUUUGAGAGACACAAUUUCUCGGAAUACUGUUCAGGUACAGUAUAAAUUGUUACAUAUAUUUGGUCAUUUAAGCUCAUGUUAGUCCAAAUAGUGUUAUAAUAGAGGUAUAAUUUAUAGUCUUUUGGCAUUUUUUUGGUCUAAACACAGGUCUAUCCAAAAUCAUGGACUGCAGUUUAUAUGCCUUUGGAUAAUGUGGGUAUGUGGAAUAUAAGGUCUGAGAACUGGGCUCACCAAUAUUUAGGACAGCAAUUUUAUCUUCGUGUUUAUUCGCCGGCAAAUUCAUGGAGAGACGAAUAUCCCAUCCCAACUAAUACCAUUCUUUGUGGCCGAGCUGCCGGUCGCCAAAUUCGGCAUGUAUAGAUGAGCAGGAUCUGUAGAAUGUCAUGAAAGCUUGACAUGGGACUACAUUUCCAGGAAUGCAGAGUUUUAGUAAAAACUUUAAAGGGCUUGGCUCGAGCCAAUUUUUUUACUUGGAAGUUAUAUUUCUUGAAAUUUCUGUUUCUUUAUCCCAUACAAUAGUCCCAAGCAUUGUUUCUUCAUAUAUCUAAUUCUGAUUCAUAAAAAUACACUAGGUUAAGAAUUAAAAUUUUGAUAACAUAAAAAUACUCAAAGGUGUAUAUAUAUAUAUAUAUAUAUAUAUAUGGAGUGAAAGGCUCAGGCAUUUCAUCUAAGCAACAAGCUUAAAUCAUUUGCCACAAUUCCUAGGUAUAUGAUGUAUAGUCUCUAUUCAAUGGUCCCGACCCCUAAGCAUUAAGCAUCAACCAUAUUUUCUUUUUCUCUUUUUCUCGGUGUCUUCAUAUUCAGAUUUUAAACUCCUCAUUUUACAACUACAGUUUACUAUGAAAUAUAGUGCAGUCACUUUCACUUAUCCAACUCCUAUUAGUAAUAAAAAUUAUUAAUAAACUAAUUUUAAUCAGCUAUCAACGGCCAUUUAUCAAUACAUUCUUAGUGAUAGUCUCAAAAAAACUGAAGGAGAUUAGAAUAGAGAAGGAAAAGUAAAAUAGUGUUGAAAACAUGUUUAAGACAACAGUUUAGAUUGAGAAGAGACAGUGAAGAGAUUAGUUAACCGUUUGAAAAUUGGUAGAGAUCUUUUAGGGAUUUAGAGUUCACAGUUGACUGUACUCAUUAUUCAUAUUCAUUCAAUUUUUAUGUCAUUACUCAAAUUUACUUGUUAUUUAUACUUGUUUUUAUUUUUAAAUAUUAAAUAUUGAUUAUAUUUUGUCUUAUAUUAUUGAGAUUUUUAUAAUGUUAAAACAAAAUUUUAUAUGAGAUUACUAUGAAUAUAAUGAUUAGUUAAUAAAACAACAGUGUGUAUAUAUACAAAUUUCAAUUCAAUUUAUAUCACUGUUUAUCUAAAAUUGAUAUAUGUACAAUUCUACAAUAUCACUUAAUAAAUACAUUUCAAUAUAUAUAGAUACAUAGAUAUAAAAAUAAAAAUAUUAUAUAUAUUUUUAAAAUAAAAAUUUUCAGCUGUUGGUCAUCCCACACGCAUGUUCAUUUUUAUUUAAAAAUAAAUAAAUUUUAAAAAAUUUAAAAUUUAAAAUUUUUUGAAAUGUAUUUUUAUUUGGAAAUAUAUAUAUUUUAUUUAAAAAUAAUUUUAAUAAAUUAUAGAUUUUACUAUCUUUGCUUUCCUUUGAAUUGUUCAAAGAACAUUUUUUUGUUUAUUAUUUUCUCUUUAUCGCUAAAAACAGUUUUGAUAAAAAUCAAAUUAUAUCCCUCAUCUGUCUAAUUAUACGUCAUAUUUUAAUUCAUUUCUCACGUUGAAGUUUCAAGAUAUAUUCUUUUUUUUUUAAAAAAAAGAUAUAUUCUAUUAAUUUGUAUGAAUAUAAAUAUAUAAAUAAAUGGGUACUCGAUAUAAUAUAUGAAUUAGUUUGAAAAAAGAAAAAAAAAUAUAAGAUAAACAAAAACAAAUAAAUUAUAUAAUAAAAUAAAAUGUAAUUUAUAUAUUACUAUUCUUAAUUAAAAAAUUAUAUACAAAUUUCAAAUUAUAAUUAUAUUAUAAAAAUUGAAACUCAUAUUUUUCCAGACGUUUUCAUGACGAUUCUGAAAGUAGUACAAUAAUUAAAUCUAAAAAAUAAAAUAAUAGUAACAUACAAUCAACUUUUAAUAUCUAGUGAUAUAUAUUACAAAAAAAAAUUAAAUAAAUAGAGAGUCAAUUUUUUAAUCUUCUCUUCUUUUUUUUUUCCGUGCGUGUAUAUAUAUUAGUUCUAAAUUUUAAAAUAAUUUUAAUAAAUUAUAUCUAAUCAAUUAAUAAAAUAUAAUUUUAUAAUUGAUUAUAGCUAAGGUUAAUUUAUAAUAUUUAAAUUUCAUUGAGGACGUUAUCGGAAAUCUCAUUAUCUCCGUCCUUAUUCCUAUUUAUAUAUAGCAUAGAUUGAGAGGAAAUUAUUAUAUUAUCUAAAAUUAUAAAUAACUUAAAUAUUAAUAUUAUCGUAUCAGAAAUUUAUAUUGUAACAAAAGUUAAAAUAAUAAAACUAUAUUUAACUGAUUUAGCAUUAAGAAAAUAGAAAAAUCUCAAAUUAUAAAUGCACGAGGUUUGCUAAGCUACUAUUAUUAUUAUAAUAAAUAAAAUAAUUUAGAAUUAUGGAACAAAUUAUAUAAUUAAAAGUCAAAUUAUUUAUGAUUUAUUACCGCAAUAAAAUAUGUAUUAACAGUAAUGAUGUCCUAAGAUCUUUUUCCUUUUGAGGGAAAUAUAAAAUUUAUUAAACUUAAAAAUAUUAUGGACAUUUUAGUCAUAUUAUAUAAAAAAUAGCAGAGUUUAUUUUAUUUAUCCAUAAAAUAAAAUUUUUAUCACAUAUUAUUUGAACAGCAUAUUAAGUUGGUUCUCUGUAUUCAUUAAAAACGGUCAACUUUUGAUGAGUUGUAUUAGAAAUAAAAUCAUUUAAAAAAGAAAAAAGAAAAGAAAUAAAUAAUAUCAAGAACCCAGUGUGCAUAAAUGCAGUUAGCUACUUAGCUCUGGUCUUGGAGUUGACUGGCAGAAGCAUGCGCAUGGGCAAUUGGGCAUAAGCUAAUGUACGGCAACUCAUAACAUAAUUAUUCUCACCCACUCCAACAAUAAGUUUCAGACAAAAUAAACCGACUACGAGUUGGUUGGCAGGACUCGGCAAACUAUUCGACCAAUUUGGUUCAGAACAUGAGAAAUCGAUUUUCGGUUCAAUUAAUAAAUUAAGCUUUAUUCGAUGACCGGUUUUAUUUUGGUUAAAACUAAAUCUAAUCAUGUUAACUAAAUUAACUGAAUCUAACCGUGUUAAUCAAAUUAAUUAAAUUAAUCCAACUGUACGUAGGGAUGCACAAGACUUAUUCUAACCGAUCUAACUCAAGCAAUUCGACCCACUGCAAUUUAAUCUAAUGAGUUUGAAAAUAUAAUGAGCUACAAUUGAAUGUGUCAUCUUCACAAUUCACCACCCAAUCUUGUGAAUAAUAAAUAUCUAUAUAUAAUCAUUAAUUAUUUGAGUUAAUUUAAUUUGAUCUAUAAUUUUGGAUAUAAUACUACAUCAUUUACAUAUUAGUGGGUGUUGCCUUUUAAAUUGUUACUUUUUUCUUUAAUAAAAACUUAAUUUUGAAAUGCUUCUAUGGGAAUAUACUAAAGUUUAAAACUUAUUAUAUAAUUAUAUUAUUAAAUUUAUUAGUUGUUUUUCUUAUUAGAAAAUUUAAUUUUCAUUCUUGUUGCUUAUUAUUAUUAUUAUUAGGAAAUUACUAUUAUUAGUAUUAUUAGGAAAAUUAUUUUGUUAGUAGAAUAUAUGACUGCUUGUGAAAAUUAUCUUGUAAUUAUGUUCGAUAUAUAUAUAUAUAUAUAUAUAUAUAUAAUUUUCUUUUAAAUAGUUGUAUUUUAUUUAACAUUAUUUAUAUUAUUUAUUAUUUAAUUCUUAAGGUUUAUACUAAAUUCGUAUCCAACUCAACUCAUUCAUUAUCCGCAUGUCCACGCAAUUGAUGAAUUGAAUCGGAUAAAAAAAAAUCAUUCAUUGGCACAUACGAGUUUGGUACAUUAAAUUAACGAAACCGGAGUCAACCCAAUCCAUGUAUGAUUCUAACUAUAUGUAUACUUUUAUUAUGUUCUUCAAUUGAUGGAAUGAAUUGUUUCAGUUAAAAUCGUGUAGUGAGAUAUUUCCGCUGAAAUUGAUCGGUUAAUUUGGUUUUCAAUUUUAUUUAUUUUGGUAGUACAAAAUUUAAAUUGGCCAAUUUGACUUAGUUAAAUACUCUCACCAUGCUUAUAUGUAAAUUGGUGAUUUAAAAUAUUUACAAGGUUUCUAAAUUUGUAUAUUUAAAUAAUUAUUUUUUUUAUAAAAUAAUUUUUAUGAUUGUGUAAUAAAAAAAGGACUUUUGUUAAUAUCUUAAUAAAUUAAGGGUAAAAUAAGAUAAAAUAAUUUUUAUUAAUUAAAAUUUUAAUACGCUUAUACGUAAAUAAAAUGGUACGAAAGGGAUAUAUAAUUUUGUUAGAUUCAAAUUUUAAUUAAUUUGGUUGGAUAUAGACAAAAUAAAUAGAAUUGAUAUACUAUACGUAUUCAAAGUCAAUCUUUGACUUUGCAAAGCUGAAUAUAAAUGUUCCUGCUGCUUGCCCAACGGUUCCAAUGCAUUGUGCAUGGCAAUUUAUGUGCACCAAUUAAUGGCUUUUGAGUGGACGAACCCUAUAUAAGGAAUCCUCUUUUCUGCAAAAGAAGACCAACCAAAAACAAUUCAAGCUAUGGGUGUUUCUUCAACAUCACUUUCUUUGCUUUUGCUUUUCAUUUGCAUUGUUUCUCAUUUCAGUGCACUUGCUCUUGGCGAUGACAAAGUUGACGAGAAGAGGUUUGGCAAUGAUGAUGAUUACUGUCGAUGGGGUCGACGUUGUGGCGGCCGCUUUGGCCGUGGACGUGGAGGAGGACUAGGAGGAGGUGGUGGCAGAGGUGGUGCUGGGGGUGGAUUUGGUCAUGGAGGAGGUUUUGGAGCAGGUGGAGGAGUCGGUGGUGGACCAAGAGGAGGUCUUGGUGGUGGUGGUGGAGGUGGUGGUGGUGGAGGGGGAGGUGGUGGUGGUGGUGGAGGGGGUCUUGGAGGCGGUUCAGGUCAUGGUGGAGGGUUUGGAGUCGGAGGUGGUGUAGGUGGUGGUAUUGGAGGUGGCGCUGGAGGUGGUGGCGGUGGAGGAGGAGGAGGAGGUGGUGGUGGAGGCGGUCUUGGUGGUGGUUCAGGUCAUGGAGGAGGGUUUGGAGCUGGAGGUGGUGUAGGCGGUGGUGGCGCUGCAGGAGGUGGAGGUGGAGGUGGUGGAGGAGGUGGUGGUGGUGGAGGCGGUCUCGGUGGUGGUUCAGGUCAUGGAGGAGGGUUUGGAGCUGGAGGUGGUGUCGGAAGUGGUGGCGCUGGAGGAGGAGGAGGUGGUGGUGGUGGUGGUUCAGGCCAUGGUGGGGGCUUUGGAGCAGGAGGUGGUGUUGGUGGUGGCGCUGGAGGUGGAGCCAGUGGAGGUGCAGGAGGGGGUCGUGGUGGAGGAUUUGGAGUUGGAAUUGGCAUUGGCAUAGGAGUUGGAGUUGGAGCUGGUGCUGGCCACGGGUCAGGUACUGGUUCAGGCAGCGGUGGUGGCGGCAGAUAAUGAAUUUUACUUGAAAAUCAAUAUUUUGCAAUUUGAGUGAUUCUUAACGCAACUAAAACAGGGUUUUUUAACAUUUGAAAGAGUAAAAAUAUAUUUUAUUUCCCGGUUUCCUUGUAUUUGCAAUUGUAAUAAUGCAAUUAUUCAAUAAAUUACAUAUUCCAUGUGUUAUUAUUUAUUAUAAAACAUAUAUUAAAUGUUUAUUUAAUUAAAUUCUCAAAAAAUAUAUAUAUAUAUAUUUAUUUAAUUAGGAAUGAUAUCUCGAGCUGGGUUGCAAGCUGGUUUACUAUUUUUCUUGUCAAAAUAUUCUUUUAAAAGAAAGAAUUAUUCAAUUUCUUCAUGCUACUUGUGCAAAGAUUUCGAAAUUUUUUCUAAUCUGUUAGUGUUAGUCCCUCUAAUUUUGCCACUUAUUUUUUAAGGUUAUAUUUAUGUUUCUAAUAUCGCAUUUAAGCUUCUUUGCUUCGGCAAUUUUUCUAAAAUGAUGAUUUCUUUUGGAUAGCUCUUUUUUUUGUUUUUUUUUUUUUUUUUUUACUGGUCUUUUUAUAAAAUACGUUGCAUGUUGAUUAUAUCUCCUAUUUAAUUUUUAUGUAAUUUCUCACUUUUACUUAUUAUUUAUCUAUUUUUUUAAUAUUAAAUAUUUAUUAUAAUUUUUGUCUUAUUUAUUUAGAUUUUUAUAAUAUUAAAAUAAAAUUAUAUGAAAUUAACGUGAAUAUAACGGUUAAUCAAUAAAACAACAGUGUGCAUAUACUCAUACUUCAGUUAAUUAAUAAAAUAACAGUGUGCAUAUACGCUGUCACGACCCAUUUCCAUGGGUCGGACCGGCACUAGGGCCCAGGUAAGCUUAAGGCCCCCGAGGCCCGUAGUAAGCCUGAACACUACAGAUUUGCUAUCUCAAUAAAAUUUUAAACAUACAAAUUUCCCUGCUUACAAUACACUAUAGUUAUAAUACAGGUUCACAGAAUUAUUCCAUCUACAACAAUACACAACUUAAAAGUAUACAAGUUCUAUAACUGCGGAGUUUACUGACGGAUGUAUACAUAUAAGUCUUCGGACAUUUAUCUAUUUAAUUGAUCAAUACUAAAAUUAGUGAAUUUCUUUUUUAACGGUGAAGAGCAGAGUUAUAGCUGGGAUUUAGAAAAUGCUACUUCCUGAAAGAUUUGAACAAAAGAGAUGUGAGAGUUUAUUAAUGAAUCAUAAUUAUUGCACAACACACGCAUUCACACAAUUGUAUAAAUAUAUCAACCUAGUCAUCCGACUANNNNNNNNNNNNNNNNNNNNNNNNNNNNNNNNNNNNNNNNNNNNNNNNNNNNNNNNNNNNNNNNNNNNNNNNNNNNNNNNNNNNNNNNNNNNNNNNNNNNNNNNNNNNNNNNNNNNNNNNNNNNNNNNNNNNNNNNNNNNNNNNNNNNNNNNNNNNNNNNNNNNNNNNNNNNNNNNNNNNNNNNNNNNNNNNNNNNNNNNNNNNNNNNNNNNNNNNNNNNNNNNNNNNNNNNNNNNNNNNNNNNNNNNNNNNNNNNNNNNNNNNNNNNNNNNNNNNNNNNNNNNNNNNNNNNNNNNNNNNNNNNNNNNNNNNNNNNNNNNNNNNNNNNNNNNNNNNNNNNNNNNNNNNNNNNNNNNNNNNNNNNNNNNNNNNNNNNNNNNNNNNNNNNNNNNNNNNNNNNNNNNNNNNNNNNNNNNNNNNNNNNNNNNNNNNNNNNNNNNNNNNNNNNNNNNNNNNNNNNNNNNNNNNNNNNNNNNNNNNNNNNNNNNNNNNNNNNNNNNNNNNNNNNNNNNNNNNNNNNNNNNNNNNNNNNNNNNNNNNNNNNNNNNNNNNNNNNNNNNNNNNNNNNNNNNNNNNNNNNNNNNNNNNNNNNNNNNNNNNNNNNNNNNNNNNNNNNNNNNNNNNNNNNNNNNNNNNNNNNNNNNNNNNNNNNNNNNNNNNNNNNNNNNNNNNNNNNNNNNNNNNNNNNNNNNNNNNNNNNNNNNNNNNNNNNNNNNNNNNNNNNNNNNNNNNNNNNNNNNNNNNNNNNNNNNNNNNNNNNNNNNNNNNNNNNNNNNNNNNNNNNNNNNNNNNNNNNNNNNNNNNNNNNNNNNNNNNNNNNNNNNNNNNNNNNNNNNNNNNNNNNNNNNNNNNNNNNNNNNNNNNNNNNNNNNNNNNNNNNNNNNNNNNNNNNNNNNNNNNNNNNNNNNNNNNNNNNNNNNNNNNNNNNNNNNNNNNNNNNNNNNNNNNNNNNNNNNNNNNNNNNNNNNNNNNNNNNNNNNNNNNNNNNNNNNNNNNNNNNNNNNNNNNNNNNNNNNNNNNNNNNNNNNNNNNNNNNNNNNNNNNNNNNNNNNNNNNNNNNNNNNNNNNNNNNNNNNNNNNNNNNNNNNNNNNNNNNNNNNNNNNNNNNNNNNNNNNNNNNNNNNNNNNNNNNNNNNNNNNNNNNNNNNNNNNNNNNNNNNNNNNNNNNNNNNNNNNNNNNNNNNNNNNNNNNNNNNNNNNNNNNNNNNNNNNNNNNNNNNNNNNNNNNNNNNNNNNNNNNNNNNNNNNNNNNNNNNNNNNNNNNNNNNNNNNNNNNNNNNNNNNNNNNNNNNNNNNNNNNNNNNNNNNNNNNNNNNNNNNNNNNNNNNNNNNNNNNNNNNNNNNNNNNNNNNNNNNNNNNNNNNNNNNNNNNNNNNNNNNNNNNNNNNNNNNNNNNNNNNNNNNNNNNNNNNNNNNNNNNNNNNNNNNNNNNNNNNNNNNNNNNNNNNNNNNNNNNNNNNNNNNNNNNNNNNNNNNNNNNNNNNNNNNNNNNNNNNNNNNNNNNNNNNNNNNNNNNNNNNNNNNNNNNNNNNNNNNNNNNNNNNNNNNNNNNNNNNNNNNNNNNNNNNNNNNNNNNNNNNNNNNNNNNNNNNNNNNNNNNNNNNNNNNNNNNNNNNNNNNNNNNNNNNNNNNNNNNNNNNNNNNNNNNNNNNNNNNNNNNNNNNNNNNNNNNNNNNNNNNNNNNNNNNNNNNNNNNNNNNNNNNNNNNNNNNNNNNNNNNNNNNNNNNNNNNNNNNNNNNNNNNNNNNNNNNNNNNNNNNNNNNNNNNNNNNNNNNNNNNNNNNNNNNNNNNNNNNNNNNNNNNNNNNNNNNNNNNNNNNNNNNNNNNNNNNNNNNNNNNNNNNNNNNNNNNNNNNNNNNNNNNNNNNNNNNNNNNNNNNNNNNNNNCUAAUCGGCCGGUCUUUAGUUGGUCUUGCCGGAGAAGCAGAGGUUAGCGCUGAAGGAGUCUGCCAAUCGAAGUGAAAUCGCAGCUCACUCUUACUGUGCUCGCCGGAAGAGAGGAGAGAAGAUGAACGGCGAAGGGACGGAGCAAGGAGCUCAGGUCGGCGUGACUCACACUCAGGUGGCCGGAAUCGCAGGUGGAGCUCGAUUCGCGAUUACACAGCCUCCUGCUUCUCUUUGACUUGCGCUGAAAUCGAACGGAAAGAGGGAGAAAGGGAGAGAUACCGGAGACGCUGCGGUGAGGAGGCGGCAGCGGCAGGGAGGCGAUGGCUGAGGCGGAAUCGGCACUGGUCUCAGGCGGUUGGAAAAACGAAAGGAGGAGAAGAGGAGGGUGGGUCGACGCUGCUCUCCCCCGAAGAAGAAAAGAAAAAGAAGAAAAAAAAAAAAGAAAAGAAGGAGAAUUCUAAAGCUUCUAGACCAUUCCGGUUCGAUUCGAACCGGUUUGGUCUAAUUCUAUGAUUUGGCUCAAUUUGCUUGAUUUUCGAGUUUUUCGCUUGGUUUUCGAAAAAUCAAAUUGAUUUAUGGGUCCAGUUUAGCAAUAAUAAAAUACUAGCUGGUAUAAUCUCAUUGGUUGAAAUAAAAAAAUUAGUUUUUAAAUGAAAAUUCUACGAAAUUAAAUUUUCG
This 55383-nucleotide long non-coding RNA is filed under the name Jatropha curcas. RNAcentral describes it as "long non-coding RNA (JCUR_LNC003198)". Lineage: Eukaryota; Viridiplantae; Streptophyta; Magnoliopsida; Malpighiales; Euphorbiaceae. The record is from RNAcentral.